Molecule: long non-coding RNA, 57317 nt
Filed under: Triticum aestivum (bread wheat)
Lineage: Eukaryota; Viridiplantae; Streptophyta; Magnoliopsida; Poales; Poaceae
Description: long non-coding RNA (TAES_LNC003911)
Source: RNAcentral
CCUCAAUGUGCGGAAGAACUCAAAGGCAAUCUUAUCGACCUCCAUGCACCAUUGUGUCAGGUUCUGAUUCUUUUAUCCGUUGUCCUUUCAUUGGGUGUUGCAUUGUGGACUAUUGCUUUCUCUGUUUUCUCCUAUAGUAGAAACAAUAGUUGUCUCUAUCACCAGUCCACAUCAGCUUAUAUUGUCUCUAAAUCGUUAACGACUGUCCCUCACACUCCAUGCUAUGUUGGUUGUUCGUUUGCCUAUACCCACAUCACUUAUAUCCCAACGCGUAUCUUAAAGAAAUACCUGUACUAAGAAUUGUAGAUGUGCUCAAGUUGUAUGUUCAAUGAUAGUUUAUAGUUGAGUCAUGAAAGUGUUCAGGUUAUACUUUCAAUACUUGGAUAUAGUAGGACGAUAUUGCUUUUCAGCUAUUUAUGAAAAUGUCAUUCCUUUUUGCCACCACCUUUGCUUUUGGGCCGUUACCAUCCUUCAAACCGGUUUACUGGCUCCACGUGUUAGUUUUUUUUGCCAAAAAGACAAACUUGUCUUUUCACUAUUGGUCUUCUCCCUAAUCUCAGAAGAUGUAAGAAGUUUCAAUGGAGUAAUGAAAUUUUGAUAAUUAGUCCUAAGUAUUGGCAUAAGCAGAAUUGCAGGUGCGACUAGUGGCAUUGACAUAAAAUUGCUGCACAUUAUUUUUCUUCUAAAUUUUGAGCACUUUAUUGUUAAUACGUAGUGAUGGGGGCUAUCAUUGUUGGCACUUCUGAUGUUAUGUUUACAUCCCCCAUUAUAAAACGACUCAACCUACCAACGUCAUAUAAAGCAUAGGAUUUUCAUCUGGUUGGUGAUGGACAUUAAGUAUUCAAGUGCUAUGCAGUUGUAUAAUUGGUGUAUAUAGAAGAUGUUUUCUUAUGCUGGAUGUGGAUUAUACAUAUCACAAGUUCUCAUCUCAAUUAACCUGCCGGUGCAGGAAGUGCAUGAGUAUUAUGAAGCUAAGUUGGCUGAGUUUGAGGCAUCGAGGGAAGAAUGUAUGCUAUUUGCAAAAUAUCAUUAUCAGUAUGACCUGCUAAGUGCACAAGCGAAGUUUCGGGAUGAGCUGCGUGCACUAAUUAGACCUGAAAUUGCUGAGAUUGAAAGAGUGAUGAUGGAACACGUGGCAAAGGCUAACGGUAGCUUGGUGUUGAUGAAGGAGCAGAUCAAGAAGAUGGCUGAAGAAGACAUGGCGACAACGGAGCAUCUCAUUGGAUACUUGGAACAGACUUGCCAUUGCCCUUGUCUUUUUCCUACCCUACCCAAGCUACCCAUAUGACCCUGCUGAUCAAAGCUGAUGAAUGGUCAGUUUUGUACCACACAUUAUGUAUUUGUACUUCAUCAUAUGUACUGGGAUGUACCAGGAGUCUGGUUUUACCUCAUCAUUUGCCAAGAACAUGGCAGCUGGCGCUAGCGUCAACAAGUCUUCCUGUGUGGAGAUGUGGUGUGAACACUAAGUGUGUUUCAGACAGUCGAAAAUAUGUGGUACUUGCUUCUUUCAAGGUAAACCAUUGGUCUGCUUAUUACCUCGGUCUUCUAUUUUUGAGUUGCUUGAUUUUAUUUAUAUAUAAAUUUCAGUCAAGCACACAACUAUAAUUGCGUACCACUAUGUCUAAAGUUCUGCCCCAUACUCAAAAUGCAGUUAGCAACAUGAUGUUACUUGCAUGUGCAGUGUGGUGGCUGAAGAAAGAGAAAGCAAUAUUUUUUCCCGACAAAGGAUAAUAUAUUAGUAUCAAGAUGAUACCAAUCCCAUCUCGCCGAGACAUUGAGGAUGCAUAUAGACAGAAAAAGAAAAUUAGAACAUAAAUAGAGUAGGUGACCAACGACACAGAACAAGCAAACAAGCAUCAACACCACCCAUCACCCUUGCCACUGUGUUUUGAUUUUCGGUUUGUGUUUUUUUUCGUCCUUGGCCGAAAUGGCCGAAUUUCGGGAAUUUUAAAUUUUUCGGCAAAAUCUCGGACGAAAUUUCAAAAUCAAAAUUUGAAAAUUUGGCCAAAAUUUGGCCGAAAUUCGGCCGAAAUUCAAACAAGAUUUGAAAUAAAACAGGCCACAAAUAUAGCAGCGCAACAACCAUCAGGUUUGAUCAUGUAAAUUUCAGCAAAUAAGCUCUAGGGAUUAAUAAAACUGCAUCUGUCCAACAUAACAGGCACACAUUAGUUAUAAAGUGGCCUCCAACAUAACCCUUAACAGUCCAACAUCAGUUCAACCAUCACAGCAUAGUUCAGAGUUUAAAUAGUCCGGUACAGCCAACAGACUUAAAGUAUUACACAUAGAAACAACAGCUCCAAAAGGCAACUAUCAAAGUAUGACAUUGAAACAGCAGCUCCAAGCUUGCCUACAUCCAAAAGCUUCUUGAUAUCCUUAGUUAUUCUUCAAGUGCCAUUUAUGGUUUAGAGAAAACAGAGGAAGGGUCAGGAUGGAGGUAGUUCUGCAUCGGAAUUAUCUUCUGCCACUUUGUGCAUUAAAAAUAAAAUGGACUAACAGGACAAGUGGCUAGUAGAACAAUAGUCAAAUUUAUACAUGCUCAUGAAUCAAAUAACAAAUCUACUACAGCAAUAUAGUUUUUUAUUCACCAAAAAGCUUCAGGAGCAAAGGUUAAAUGCCUCCAUAUACUAGAAUGAUGAAUUCUAGUUUACAGUUUUUACUCGAGCACAACAAAACUCUAAGGAUACAAAGAAAACAACAUAGACACAAACAGCCCACUGUUGGCUUGGACUAGCCAUUUGUCAAUUGUCAUACAAAAGGAAAAUCAGGAUGGAUGUAGUUCAACAUCAGAAUUUUCUUCUUCCACUUUGUGCAUAAUGAAAUAAAAUGGACUAACAUGGAGGUGUCUAGUGCAACAAUAGUCAAGUGGUAACAUUUCAGGAUAACAUAAAUACAUUGCUUAACAUGACAACGAAGGCUAGGCAUGGAUAGAAAGUGUAUACAUCUAAGAAACUAGCAGCUCCAAGUAACUAAAAUUUUCUAAGCAAUUAUCAUGAAUCAUAAAACACUAGAAAGAAGAGACUUGCCAACAGAUUUCUAAGCAACAGGGUAUAGGCUGUUGACGCCCUUGGUCUUCUUCUUGACAAGCCGUACAGAUCUACGGGUCUCCAAAUUGCCAUCUCUUGGAGGUGCGUCCUUUUCCACUUGAAUUUGUGUCUCUUUUUCCACUUGCAUUUGGGCCUCUUGCUGAUCAUGCAUGGAUGGAGCAUCUUCCCCAUCCUCACUCACCCCAUCAUUAUCCUCACUCUCACUAUCAACAAAUACAUUCUCUUCAAAAUCACAUGACAAAAGAACAACGGUCAGUUAUGAAGAGUAGGUAACUAGAGAAGCAACCCUUGCUUACUUGGGUGUCCUCACAUGAAUGAGGAACAAAAACAGUACAGCUUAAUGCUCUAGUUUAGAUACUAAGGAAUAAGUAAUUUAACUACAACCUGAUGCUCUAGUUUGCCAAAAAGACAAGUCAAAAAUAAUAAUCUAUUCUUGAGAAAGAUACUGCGAAGCUUAGUUCUAGAACCACCACUUAAUGGUACCGCUGAACAUUGAAAUUAACCAUCGGUCAACAUCUACUUAGUUAAAUACACAACACAACUGAAUUAUUAUUGGACGUACUGUAGAUCUAAAUAAAUGAUCAAUUCAAACAUGAGAUGCUUCUGCAAACAUACAAGCGAGUGGUUGGAGGUGAUGAAAAAAACUUUAAUAUUGCACACAAGCAUCAUCUCAACAGCUCAAAAACAAGCACACACCCCAGAUCUAUGGAACGAUUAUAUAUUUUAGGAUGUUCAGAAUAACGUUUGUAACCCACUUUUUUGUUGGACCAAAAUAAAUAGUACCAGAUCGUGAGCAUCCUUAGUGAAUACCAGAUGCAUGUGUGUUUCAGAUUAUAUACCAAACCAAAACAUUGUGAGACUCCUUGGUGACUACCAGAUGCAUGUAUAUUUCAGAUUAAUAAUCUCACUGUUGUACGUUCAACUCAUCAAGACUCACUUUUUCUUAACCCCGUAUGAUAUAUGCAUUUGCCGAGCCAUUUACCAGGGACCUCUCCUAAAUCUAAAGCAGCACAAGCAGACACAGAUUAUAACCAAGAAACAAAGCAACAUCGAUCUGAAAUUGCUCAAGAACUGAAACUGCAUACACGUACUGAAACUGCAUCAAGAACAUUUGUACCUUUCCAGUCAAGCGGACGCCCUCCAUGCUGCUACCGCUGCCCCGUGCUACUGCCUCUGUUGAACUGGUCGGCUCGCGCUCCAUCAGCUCCGUUGCCGCAGCCGCCGAGCACCAUGCUGCAGUCUUGGAGAAGGGCCGCAGCUGCCGAGCUCCGUUGCCGCAGUCUUCGACAGGAAGUGGAUGGGGUGGAGGCGAGGAGAUGUGGAGGAGGGCCGGAGAAGUGAGCGCCUUGGCCGGAGAUGUCGAGGAGGGCGAGGAGAUGUGGCCUGUGCGCAGCGGCGGCGCCGCACAUAGGAGGACGGACAGGGAAAGAGCGAUUUAGGGUUAGGUAGCGUGGGUUCGUGGUUUGUCUCAGCGGAAGCCUAACUGGAAGGCUCUCGAAGCUGGGCCGGGCAAAAAAAUUCAAACUGGGCCAAAUUAUUCGGCCGAUAGGCCCAUAUAUCGGGCCCUAGCGAGACGGCCGAAAUUCGGCCGAAAUUCAUUUUUUUCGGCCGAAAAUCAAAACGCGGCCUUGCCAACACAUGAACUACGAAACAAUUCUCCAACAGCAACACCUUCAAGAUGGAAAAGCAACAAGUCUAAUUUGUUCUUGAUUCAGAAGCUUAGGGCAACUCCAAUGGGGAGCACCAAAUAGAUGACACCAAAUGUCAACAGACAUCUCGGGCGGGGUGUCGACAAUCCAGCGGUAGUCAUCAAAUUAGGAUAGUGCGUUAUGACUGACAGUGAGCUUGGUGGACUGAGAGGAAAAAGAGCCAAGCGCAACACAUCGGUUGCGGGUAGAUGUGGUCCAACUAACAUUGGGUCGGGAGGAUGCCCGGACGCCCCCACACCUUCCACGAAUUUGGUGAUCAGUCCAGAUAAAUUAGAUGCCUCCCAUCAGAUGACUUUAAGUUCCCGAACCAUCCAGUCCGAACAUUUGCGAGUGAUUUCAUGAGCCGUAUUGAAGUUUCCCUCAAAGUAUGUUCACUUAUUUCAAGUAUAACUAGAAAAUUUACACCAGAGCGUUUCUGAGGGUGAAUCAGUUUGAAUUUGAUCAAUACAUUGCCUGUAAAGUAUGUGUUUGCACAUGCCCUAUAGAUCUACCCGUUGUGUACUAGAGAUUUGAAAACGAUAUUAAAAGAAAAAAUGCUUCAUCAUAGUAAUCAUGAUGAGGCAACCAGUCUCGUGUAGCACCGGUCACUUCACACGUGUGUCGCCCCACCUACCCAGCUUAUGACACCUGGCCUACCGAACCCAAGCGGGAGCAGAAGAUUGCUUUAUCCCUUCUCGAUCUUUCUCAUACAUCCAUUUUUAUCUAGAGCGCCUUCUUUCCCAACUUUCCUCUCAGACGCUAGCAUCGGUGCAACUUUCUUACCGAGCACCUUCUUCCCCGCUCAAUCCCAUCCCACCUCGUACUCUAGCAAGUCCACUGCAGUGUCUUGAUUUCAUGUCCAUGCUCGCCCCCACCCUCGUCCUUCUCAUGGCCGACGAGCCGCCUCCUCACCUUUCCUGCCCACUUCGAGCGCAUCAGCAUGAACAUAUUCUACUGGCAUACAUACUCUGCAUAAUAAAGGCCUUACCAGCCGCAAUAUGCCUCGCCUCCUGGAUCUCUCGGCGAGCGUCCUGGGCAUCAGCCUGGGCUUCCUUCAAGCUCUCAUGGGCUUUGGUGAGCUCGGAAGCCUAUUCCGAGCUCGUCUACUCCAAGCACUUGCAUCUAGCAAUGGUGUCUUGGAGCUCUAUUUCAACCUCACCCACCCGCGCCUCAUGGCGUUGGCGGGUGGUCUUCUCCUCUUCUAAGCUUUCGGACGCCUUGUCUGCGGCCGCCUUGCUUGCCUAUGCCUCCUUCUGGGCUUCCGCAAGGGCGCUUUUGAGGGACUCGACCUCAUAGGCGCCAACUGUGGGCACAAUUAAAACAUUUUUAGUCUGUUUCAAACCAUCAAAACAUCCACACUUGGAGAUAUAUACUCAAUGUAUGGAUACCUUGUAUCUCCUCAAACCGCUUAUUAAUGUGGACAACCUCUUCAUCGGCCAGCCGUAGCUUCCCAGUAAGUUCGGAAACUUCGGCAGAUUGGGCGCUCGCCGCAAGCAAGGAAGCCUGUUGUACAAUAGAGUGUCACCUCUCCCGAACACUAAGUGGUCCUCUGUCCGACUUAUUCAAAACCAGACAGAGUCUCAGGGGCUACUAUCUAUACACAAGCAUAUUUCCUUUAUUAAAAUUGGUUAGAAAAUUACAUUACAUACCUCAAAGCCUGUUAAUAGGCUGGUAGAGGCUUCGUUCAGCCUGCUUUUGGCGAACUGAAUCUUCUCAGCCACCAUACCCAUCAGGGUAUGGUGCUCCUCCACGACGGAGGCGCAGCGAAGUGCUUCCGCCAAAGUAUCCGGCGCCUCCAUACUGAUGGAGGCCGCCGGUGGAGUCGACGUUCCCCCCUCCUUCAAAGGGGUCUCUUGCCUGAUUUCAGAAUCGUAUGGGUCUCCGGAACAGUGUUCGGCUGGGGGCCGGAUUGGUCAUGGCCUCCAUCACCAGUCUCCAUGGGGGUUGGCCCUCUCCUGUCUUCGGCAGCCGGGGUUUUACCCUCUGGCGCCGUCCUGACAGCCUCUUGCACCUCUCCAUGGCCUUGAGAGGCUCUUCGGGAAAAGGCUUCGAUGUCAUCCGGAGCGGUAGGCGGGGAGGCCCGCGGAGGCGUCUCGCUCUCCACCAUCACUAGCUCUAACGAAUUAACCGGUGACGAUAUUUGAGGGAGAUCACGUGCCGGACUAAAACACACAACACAACAUGUUAAAAACAAUAAUUAUAAACGCUGAUGUAUGUAAGGAUCUGGAGAUACUUACGAUUCAGCUAGGGGCUUCGACCUGGGGCAGUACUUGGGGAUGACUUCGGCAUACGAAUCCGAGUCGUUCGGGAGGGAUACUCUCCCCCUUUUGGACGCCUCCGUUUCAGGGCCUACGGAAGCCGCCCUUUUCUUCCUCCCCCCUUAGGGGAAGAAUUGCUCUCUUCCUCCUCCUCCUUUUCGUCUUCAUCUCCCUCGUUGGAGGAGAGGGCUUCGGACUCCCCGGACAUAGUGUCCGAGGGACCUUUACUGCGAGGGCCGUUUUUGGCCUCCUUGCCCUUCUUCUUGGUCUUCUUCUCCGGCACCUGGUACGGCGCCGAAACCAGCAUCCUCGUCAGCAGAGGAUCAUCGGGGUUUUCGGGCAGCAGAGCCGGACACUUGAUCCGCUCCGCCUUCUUCGUCCAUCCCUGUUUUAAAUAUGAGAAUCUCAAUACACCCCUGUGAUUUCCGAACCACUAUUAGGAAAAGGCCUACUAAUGGCGCACCGGUUUUGCCUACUAAUGGCGCACUACCGGUGCGCCAUUAGUAGCACGCCACUAGAAUUUUUUACUAAUGGCGUACCAAGCAGUGCGCCAUUAGUAUGUAACACCAUGCGCCAUUAGUAUGCCUCCCGGGGGCCAUAUGUAACCAUGUGCUUUGUCAUACUAAUGGCGCACUCUGCCUUGAUGCGCCAUUAGUAUCCUUUGGCAUACUAAUGGCGCACUCUGCCUUGAUGCGCCAUUAGUAUGAAUAUUUGGUUUUUGUUUUUUGCUUUUUUGAUUUUUGCACAGGUUACAAAAUAUAUUAUUGGACAGAAUAUAGACAGAGCACACAGCAACAGCAGAUUCAUCGAAUACAAUAGAAGAUUAGUCUCCGAAUACAAUUCCUCAUAUUAGUCUCCGAAUUCAAAAGACCGAACAAAGAUAAAAUAUUACAAGUGUCAAGACCGCGAGUAUCGAGUUUGUCUUCACAUUACAAGUCGAUAUCGAUCAUCUAAACUACCAUCACAUAAAAGAGAGUUGCGGUCAUCACGAUGAGCAUCAUCGCGAUCAAACUGGUCUUCAUCCGGUUCCUCCAACGCUCCCUCCUCUCUCCCGCUAGAUAGCGGGCGUAUCUAGAUUCGGCCUCCGCCCUAGUGGUGUACCCUUUGUAACUGUUACCGCUGAAACGGUGAACCUGUCUCCGACACUCCUCCCAGUCGUCGUAGACUCCGGGAACCUUACCCUUGUACACGACAUACGACGACAUCUCUAUGCACAAGCCAAACAAUAGACAACAGACAAUACAUAAGCAAUAUGUAAGUAUGCAACAAAAGGAUCGGAAGAGAAAAGCAAGACAUUAAUAGCACGAUUCAUGAUCCUACUAAUAAAUAGCAUCGAUUACAUCUAAGUUGAAUGACUGUCCAAACCAAAGACACAUACGAAUUCAUUAAAGUUUAAUUACAACAUGAGCCAAUCAAUGUUUCAGAACUACACAUCAUUACUUUCGACUCGACUCAUCGGACAGGAGCGUGGAUGAAGCCGUCGUCUGUUGUGAUGGUCAUGAAAUCGCGGUCGUUGUCACCCUGCAUUUGUAGCGUUCCAUCUAUCUCAUUGUUGGACGGUUGAUAUCUGAGGUAGAACUGCCCCGAGGUAUGAAGGACAUCUUGAUGGAUGAUGUCCGCAAACUCCGGCUGGAUGCGAAAGAAUUCUUGUCUGAGGUCCGCGUCCUGGAUUGCCGACAACCUCGCGGCCCAAUCUUUGAGACUAUCUGGUAGCAGAAGUUGAUGAUGGUCCCUUACAAUCGCCCGCAUGUGAUGGAGGGCGUAGUAGGCAUCCUUCUGACCGCCAGGCGGCUGCUUGACGCAGCAGAAAUUCGUAUUGUGUGAGAAGGUGUGCUUGCCAUACUAACGAACUGCCCUGGUGAAGGUGCCUCCAGAUUUGGCGUAGCCGGGGAGAACAUCAUCAAGAACUUUCUUGACAUUUGUGUAGUCUAUCUUGGAGUUACGGUUCGGGUCGAAAUACGUGGCCAUGGAAUAUUUCGGGCUUAAGAGGAUGAGUGUGCAAUGUGUGUCACUGCACAGAACAUGGAAUGUUCGAAAAAAAAGAACAAUCAAAAUCUAAGAAAUCAUAUGUUACGGGGCGGUUAAGGGAUGACUUACUCGGGAAAGUAAGCGACAAGGAAGUUAUCCUUAUCUGGGUUUGCCAGAAUGACGCCUUCGAGGUGUGAACUUGCAACUUGGCGGUCCCCAAUGCUGCUCAAGUGCUUGGCACGCAUGUAGAAGGGGUCGACUAUCACGAUGUCUGGGGUCUUGUCUCUAAUGAUCCGCAUCUCCAUACUCAGCGAAAACAGCCGAACGAAGGUGUAGUGCAGCGGAUGAAGGUUAAACAUAGCAAAGAUGUCAUCAAACCGCAGGACGAUCGUACCCCCGAUGUCGCCAUCCACAAAGCCCUUGCCCUCUGGCACCUUGGCCACGAAAACCGGGUAUGCCACAUCAUUCUCUCUGAGACGCCGCUUCUCCAAAGAAAGAACACUGUCGUGCAGACUCCGCAUAGCACCGGUUGCAGCAUUCAGCAUAUUUGGCGGUAGCAUCGCCCUACCCGCCACAUGCACCCUCCUCGAGAUAUCCUUAGGUGAAGGUGGCCCGUCCUGAGCACGGAUCAAAUUCGGUGCCGGCUGGCUCGCACCGGCGCCCUUGUUAGUCUUUCGCUUCCGUCCCUUCUUCUUGAUCUCCUGUAAUGGGACCGAGUUCUGCUCACAGACCGCCUUCUUGAGCGUGUUGGGGCUGAUAAUAUUUUGCACCUCAGCUAUCUGAGGCUCGGUGAAGGCGGGAGCUGGAGGCGUGUCCUGAGAACUGAAUGGCAGACGACGCCUGUUGCAAUUGGAUUUCUCCGCCGUACCAGCUAGAUCACGGUCGUCUUGGUUGGGUUCUUGAGAAAGAGGCCCGCAGAACUCGUCAGCGUACCCAUGUUCGGCAAAGUACUUAUCAACUUUGGUAAAUGUCCCAUCGUCGUUGUCGUCGCCGUCCGGAUCCUGUGCCAUAGGGUUGUCCGGAUCCUGUGCCAUAGGGAUGUCCGGCAGGUCCGGUAGCGUUGCGGCGUUCUUGCCAUGGCUUGGCGCCGGCACGACUGGCGGUCUUGUCUGUGGGGUGAUGUCCCCCGCCCCCAAACGAAUCUGGCUCUUCGGCCAAAGCAGGGGCCAGUUUACGCAGGCGCUGAGGGUCAUCUCAUCUUCUUCAUCGGCCCCAGCGGGUCGAAUCGGAGGUAACAGCUCGUCGCAGCCUGGCAGCACCCGAACCACUUCAACCCUAUACAUUGUGGGUGCCAUCGGAUUACCGUGGAACAUGCGGUUGCCCGGUUGAACGAUUCUGCCCUUGGCGACAUCGACCAACUCGGCGCCCACGAAGUGCAGAAGAGUGCAAGGAACGUCGACGGCGCCCUGCGAAAACAUGUACAGGGCGUUAGGGAUGCCCAGUCAAAGGCAAGGAGAUGAAGUCAUCGGCCGAGAGGCUUAGUUACCGUGAUGCCGUUGAGCUCGGCUAAUGUCGAGGCACCGCCAACGGCGGGCGUGCCACUGACGGAGGGGGCGCUUGCUGGCGAGGUGCCGGCCGGCGUACGCCCAGGUGCAUUAAGCUCCAAUGCAUGUGCCGGCGCCGGAGACACGAAUACCGCCUCCGCCGGAGACACCAAUGGUGCCGCCGGAGACACCAAUGGCGCCGCCUGCGCGCUGUGCGAGUUGCUGGCCGUGAAGCUGGGAACCGGGGGAGGCCCCUGUUGGCCGCCCGCAAUCCACGUCGUCAUCCCAUGAAUCAACGUAGGCACCAUGGCGUUGAGCUUCGUUCCCAGUUGUUGUUCCACUUGCUCUUGGACAAGCUCCGGAAUCCGCGCCACUUGUGCCUUGAGUUCUUCAACCUCGCGCGUCUGGCUUUCCGAGCUGGUCUUUUUCUCCUUCCGCACACCAGCGGUAUAGUAUGACCCCCAUUUUGUGGACAAGCCUUUGCCGGCCACACGACCAGCUGACGUCGGCUUAGUGAGCUUAUCCUUGUUUUUCAUUAUGUUCAAUGCCCUAUUUAAAGGGGUGUCGAAAGGGGAGCUCUAAGACGACCCCGCGCUACUGCUUUCAGUGUCCUGCGAAAGGAAUGUGAACCAUUGAGAAAUAUUGGGGAUUAAUUAGAGUGCAACCAUAUGGAGCUAAUUACGCGGGGGUGUAUUCCUUACCAGAACAAGCUCAAGCGCCCUGGUCUUCGGAUCCGUGGUAAGCUCCUUUGUUUUCGGGUCCUCCUUGUACCGGGCCCUGACAUAGUUCCUGGUCUGCUUGUUACCGUUGUAUUUCUUGAAGCGGGGCGGUAGGCCUUGCUCGGCACGCUCCGUGUCCUCCUUGUCCCAUAUAGGCUCCGCCACUCUGUAACCACUGGGACCGAGUUUGUGUUCCCCUAAGUUCAACUCCCGCAUUUCUUUCCCCCGCUGACUUGAUUCGGAGGUUGCACUGCUCUCGCACUUGAUCUUGAACUCCUUGUACUCAUCUUCGUUCAUCAAAGGAUAUUUCGCCUUGAUAUUCUCAUAACUAUCACCUUUAUCAAUCAUUCUCUUCACCGCACUUCUCCAAGUAGAUAGGGCCAUGCUCAUCUUCGUGAGGGCGGCACUGUUCACUUUAUUCCCUGAGAGGCGUGUGUUUUCAAAUUCGGCGGGGAACUUGUAUCGUUCGCGCAGCUUUGUGGAGAGGAGGUUGCGCAAAUUCCCUCGGUCCUUAUGCCUAAGGUUCUCGGUGUUGAUCGAGAUGGUGCUCCGGAGAAUGCACCCGAGCUGAACCGAGUACCCCUUGACUAUAUGUUUGGGCUCUGUUGGAUUCCCGUCGGAGUCCACUUGAGUGAAUUCCUCCUUGAGGGUGUGGAGCGCAUUCGGCUGCCGGUCCUUCCUUUGCUUCUUCGGUUGGCUGCCAUCUGUGUGUGCACCGCCAUCAUCAGUGGUGGCAUGCUUGGCGGCACCAUCACUGGUGUCAUCCCCGACGCCACUAGGGGUUGUGUAAUCAGGAUCGGUGUCUUCUGCGGCGUCCUCAUAGCGGUGAGGUUGUUCCUCCAUCUCCUGGGACAGCUCCCAGAAUUGCUUGCCGCCCGAACCACCGGCCUCAUCGUUGUGGGCCAUGUUUUGCUCUAAAUAGGAAAAAAAUUGGUCAAAAAGUUGGUUAUUGUCAAGGAACAAGAUCAUGGUCUCAUCAUUUAGGGUUUGUCGACACCGAGGCACCCUAAAAGCCUAAGCUUUCAUCAUUUAGGGUUUGUCGAUGCCGAGGCACCCUAAAAGCCUAAGCAUACAUCAUUUAGGUUCUCAUCGACACCGAGGCAUCCGGGGCAGCCAAGUUAAGUUUUCAUCAUUUAGGGUUUAUCGAUGCCGAGGCACCCUAGGUUGGGCCUAAUCACUUGGCACUAAUCACUUGGCUCUAUUGCCACCUAUGUUGGGUUUAUCAUCUAGGGUUUAUCGAUGCUAAGGAGAAUUCUAAGUUGGGCCUAAUCACUUGGCUCUAUUGCCACCUAUGGUUUAAUGCAGCAAGAAUAAAGGGGCAGUUGAUCCUACUUAAUUAAGUACUAAGAUACCCUGGCCCAUGCAUUAGUCGCAAGUACGCCAUAUGUCCUACUUUUAGCAAAAUCAUGCUAAAAUUCACGGAAAAUUUCAGCACGACCUUUGCUGAAAAUAGGACAUAUGGAGUACCCGAAUUUGCCGGAACGGAAGUUAAUCAACAUUCCAGCAAACUCAAGGGCCUCUCGGGGUACCUGCAAAUUCAUCACGACACGAUGGUCGGAGACAAAACCCAGCAAACUAGCACCACAAUGUGCCUUUACUUUCAUAUGGAUGAAAAGGCCACAGACCAUAUGGUCCUCUGCUUUCAUAUCGACAAAAAUCAGCUCAACUUAUGUGAGCUUCCAUUCCAGAUCUAAUAGCAGCAAGUUGUUCACUUGUAGCUGAACUUAUGUGAGCUGCCUUCAAGAAAAGAAAUCUGCAGUGGCACAUCUGCUCUCUGAAUACAUUGGCAAGAAACAAAACAACACCUAGUACCAUCCAUCUGCUAUGGCCGUAUCAUGCAGUUUAACUAAGCACUAAUAAGUAAUUAUAUAACUGAAAACUUGGCGCGUACGUGUCACUUAGCUUGGGCAAGCAACAUACCUCGUCCUCUUGGUUAGUCCAAACAAGCUGUAUGCUGAGCCUCAACUCACCACCUGCACAUUUUACAACUCCCAUGAAAUGAAAAAGUAAACAUAAUUGUCAACCAACAAAACCAAAACACAAACAUGACUUCAAAUUUUCACGAUCAGGAAGAAAAACAGGGUUUUCAACUACUAUAUUCAGUUUCAUGGCAUCAGUUGAACAGUUGAAAAAGAACAAGCUUCAUUUAAAUAUCUUGCUGCUAACAAACAUAACUAAUGUCAGUACUCAAAAAAUAGAGUGACCACACAGGGAACAAACAAACUAUUCACUUUUUAUUUCUUCAUAAUUGGACCAGACAGAGAACAACUCCUUGGAAGCAAACUGAAACCAUGCUGAAACUAUACCGAAACCAUGCUGAAACUUUACGAAACUACUCCUUGCAAUCAAACUGAAACUACUCCUUGGAAGCAAAUUGUCUUGGAAGGAGUAUUGUGUGCACAAAUCUACUCCAACUAGUUGCUUUCACUUAGAAAUUGUUAGCACAAACAGCAUGAGUCAUUCUUCAGACCGUUACAAAUAGAAACAAUGGCAACCAAGGUUAAAAACCAACAAUCCUAUAUAUUAUUCUGAAAUUUGAUAUAUUGAAAUCACUUAGCACUCUCUUUAUGUGUUCAUUCAACACUUAAAAUUGAGGAAAAUAAUACCAACUAGGAUCGGUAUGACCUUCAUUUUUCAUUUUCUGUAUGAUCAAUUAAAUCUUCUGCAAGCUUAUAUGAAAAGGUUCAGCCACUUGAAACGUAACUCUUGCUUGGUGUUCCAAAUCAUUUCAUUUAUAUUUUAAAUAACAGUAAGAAUUAUUUCAUAAUAGAAUUUACCCGAUGGGGGCGGCGGGUGCGUGCGACAGAGGGGGGAACGGGUGGGGGUGGAGGAGGCUCACCACUAUUGCAAACCAAACAAGUAAGCAGAGCACAUGUAUAUACCUGUAUCACUGUCUUGGAGCCAACAAACGCCUCAAUUUUUCUCCAACCGUGAUCGAACCUGUUACGCAGAAACACAAACAGAGAGAUACAUGUAACUAACGAGGACAGACAGACAAGGUAACAAGAACUCCACAACUCAAUUAAGCCUACGCUUCUUCUUUCACUCUCCUGCAUAAAGUUAUUGUUACUACCUGUGAGGGAUUAUAUGCUUGUUUACCACUACUAAUACCAUUUUUUAAUAUAAUCUUCAUUCUCCUGCUUUUUCUUUUCUUACAAGUGUUGAUGCCAAAACAUUGCAACCCUGUAGUUCAAGAUCAGAGUCAAAAUUGACCUACAUGAUUGUUUACCACUACUAAGACAUGGAUCUAAUAGCUAUCUCCCCCCUUGUUCCUCAUGCCUUAGUUGCAUUCAGAGAAGAGAGAGCUCAGAUCCUAGAACAGGGCCGGAUCUCUCUGGAAGAUAUGUGUUAACCAAUUUCGACCAGUAUAACCAACACAAAGCUCCUGCUCUCUCAAAUUGCAGAUAAAACAACUUAAUCUACAAUUUGCUAACAUGUUUAAACCAAAACAUUUGCUCAUGAAAAAUAUUCAACCUACAAUUUGUAAACAUUUGCCCUUAGAGGCAUUAUCACAAACACCUAUCAAGCACAAUCCUCUAAAAUCACGCAGCAAGCAAGAAAUAACUAUCAUUAUAUUCCCACUGUAUCGAAUCUACAUCAAGUACUCAUCCACUAAAAAAAUUGAACCGAGGAUGCAAGAGGAAGGAGGGAGGGGGGAUGAGGGAAGAGGGAGGAAGGACGAAGGAGUGGUGGCUACCUGCCUACGGACUGGUCGCCGGUGUAGCUCCGGGCGGCAGCGUUGCUGGGCAGGAGCGCCUGCUCCAGGGAGGGGGGCGCCGCUGGUGGGAGCGACUGCUUGAUGGGGGGAGGCGCUGCUGGGGUCCUAUACCGGAGGCGGGGCAGCGGAGGGUUCGGCCGGCUGGGUGCGCCACGGCGGCGCGCCGGCAGCGGUGGCGGCGGCUAGGAACCCUAGCUGUCGCACUCGGAAGGGAGGUUGACGCAGGCGGGGCCGUGGGGGGAGGGGGACGGCGCGGGCGCGGGCGCAGGGGGGACGGUGAGGGAGGUGGCGCUCGGUGUUGGAAGCGAGCACGGCCGGGGACGGCGAGCACGGGGGAAGUGGUGGUCGGUGGUGGUCAGGCGCGGGUGAGAUGAGGCAGGGGAGGGAUUGGGGAUUUUAGUGUGGGGGAGGCUUAGCAAUGGCGCACCACCCAGGGGUGCGCCAUAAGUAAUUUAAUCUAGCCCGACUUGUCAGGUUAUAUACCACCUAACCCUAUCUACAACAGAACCUGCCCACUAGCCCGAGUGGUCAGUACGCAGCACACACCCCAGGAGGUCCUGGGUUUGAUUCCCAGGCUCCCCAAUAUUUGUUUAUGCAUUUUAAAUCCUGUUUGAUAUUUAUUUGUGUUUAAAUAUGUUCAAACUUGUUUAAAUCAUAACAGUAUUAUUUUUUUAUAAAAACAGUAAUAUUUUUUUAAAAAAUAUGUUCAAAUUUGUUACUUGAAAAUAUCAUCAACGGCGGCGGUGGAGCGNNNNNNNNNNNNNNNNNNNNNNNNNNNNNNNNNNNNNNNNNNNNNNNNNNNNNNNNNNNNNNNNNNNNNNNNNNNNNNNNNNNNNNNNNNNNNNNNNNNNNNNNNNNNNNNNNNNNNNNNNNNNGGGGAGGGUGCGGGGGGCCGGGUUCUCGUCGGCGGCGGUGGACCGAGGGAGGGUUGCGGUGGGUCGGCGACAGCGGUGGAGCUAGCGGGAGAGGGUGCGGGUGGGAUCGAGAUCGAGAUGGAGGGGGAAUCGAGAUCGAAAUGGAGGGGGAUUGAGAUCAAGUGUCCUCAUGAAUUCAAAAAGUGCCCAUGAAAUUUAAAAAUAUUCAUGAUAUCAAAAAGUGCCCAUGAAAUACAAUCGAGAAAUCAAGACUACGAUUUAAAUACAAUCGAUCUUAGCUAGCUAUCUGUUCACAAUCUUCUUGCCCUUCUUUUUCGCAAAUGGAGUUCUUCUGUGGAACGGACGUCCUUUAGGUAGGGUGGUCCUGCUUCUUCUUGUGGUGUGUGCUGCUACUUCAUCGUCGUCGUCAUGUUCGAUCUUCGGGUCGCCGUACUUGUCGAAGUCUUGCUCAUUGGCUACUCCAUCCAUUCCGAUGAUCUUCCUUUUGCCUCUCCUCACGACAACACGACUGGGCUUUGGCGGGUCGGUAAUGAAGAAGCAUUGGUCCACUUGGGAAGCCAGUACCCAUGGCUCAUUUCUCGUGGUGACGUUUACGCCCGCGGUCUUGGAUUUGGCUUCGGGUAUAACCAUGGUGGUGAAAUACCGGUCUUCUUUUAGGACGCUCUUGGCCCAUCUGACACGAAACAUCGGGACCUUCUCUCUAGCGUAGCUCAGCUCCCAGAUCUCCUUGAUCCUUCCGUAGUAUCUGUCCUUGUCGUUGCCGGUGUAGGAUUCCAUCGUUACCCCGGAGUUCUGAUAACCAUCGCACUUCAUGUCCUUGUUCUCGGUGUAGAAUGUGUAACCGUUGAUAUCGUAUGCCUCAUAGGUCAUCAAGUUGUGCUCGGCGCCCUGUGAAAAGGCGAAUAUGAGUUGUUCUUCCGCGGAAGAAUCCUCAUGUAAAGGGUACGACAGAAGCUUCUGCUUGAACAAACGCGUGAAACAUGAAUUGUGCUCUUUGAUUAUAUCUCCGUCCGUCCUCUGUUGGCGUCGGUCAUUGUACGUCUUCUCAAUAAAGGUUUUGUGCUCUACCACCCAAGGAUCGACCACGUCUAUGUGUUGUAGUGCGACUAGGUUUGCUCUUUCAAAGUCGGCGAGUCGACCCUCGAAGUCGACAUGCAUUUCGGGGCGACCCUCACGGUGACCCCAUCCAUCGAGCCUGCCGAGGUGCCUGUUGACGGGCAGACCAACGGGGUUCUCGAUGCCUAGAUAAUUCAUGCAGUAGGAGAUGCACUCUUCGGUUAGAAAGCCCCUGGCUAUACUUCCCUCUGGACGUGACAUGUUUCGAACGUAUCCUUUGAUGACACCAUUCAUCCUUUCGAACGGCAUCAUGCUGUGCAGGAACAUCGCCCGAGUUGGAUGAUAUCCUCCACGAUAUGGACCAGCAGAUGCACCAUAACGUCGAAGAAUGCGGGCGGGAAGUACAUCUCAGGCUCGCAUAGUAUCACCACGAUCUCUUCCUGUAGCCUUCUGAGUUGCCUCACACCAAUGGACUUCUGAGAGAUGACGUUGAAAAAGUUGCAUAGGCCAAAUAGCAUUUCACGGACGUGCGCGUUCAUGAUCCCACGGAUUGCAACUGGAUGUAUCUGCGUCAUCAGCACGUGAUAGUCGUGGACUUCAUCCCGCUGAACUUCUGCUUCGCUGGGUCUAGGUAUCUGCUUAUCUUCCCCGCGUAACCGUAAGGAAGUUUUACUCCUAGGAGGCAGGUAAAAAACUGCUCGAUCUCCUCCUGACUUAGAGUGAAGCAUGCGGGAGGGUAGUCAUUUCCGGUCUUCUUGGCCUUUUUGCCUUUGCGACGACUUUCUGUGUCCUGCUUCGCCUCAUCAUCAUCAUCAUCAUCAUCAUUAGCGUGAAGCUCCUGCCUGAUGCCCAUUGAUUUCAAGUCUGCCCUUGCUUUUGGCCCAUCUUUGGUCCUCUCUGACUUGUUGAGCAGGGUACCAAGCAGACUCUCGCACAUGUUCUUAGUGAUAUGCAUGACAUCAAGGCUGUGAAGCACACUGUGGAUCUUCCAGUACGGCAAGUCCCAGAAAACAGACCUCGUUUUCCAUACCUUCAGCAGCGGCUCUGGCGCCUUUCGCUUCUUUCCCGGCUCUGGCGCCUUUUGCUUCUUUCCCGACAGUGGGCAGUCUUUCCAAUUUUUUAACAGCUCGUCUAUUUCCUUGCCGCUCCUCGUACACGGGCGUUUUCGGGGUUCGGUUUCACCAUCCAACAGAUCCUUGCGUUUCCUCCACGGGUCAUCGUCGCAAAGCCACCUUCGAUGUCCCAUGAACACGGUUUUCGAAGACCCGGGAUCUCUAUCUAGCUGGCGAUACAUUGUGUCAUCCAUGCACCUUACGCAUCCAGAAAAUCCGUGGACUACCUGCCCCGCGAGAUAUCCGUAACCGAGAAGUCGUGCACCGUCGUGAGCAGUGCGGCUCUCAUAAGGAAAUAUUCUUUCUCUGCGGCGUCCCACGUAUUGGUUGGCGUUUUCCACAGCGUGUCUAGCUCCUCCUUCAGCAGCCCCAUAUAUAGAUUGAUGUCGUUCCCUGGUUGUUUCGGCCCUUUAAUUAGCAUACUCAUGUGAAUGUACUUCCUCUUCAUGCACAACUAGGGGGGAAGGUUGUACAUCCACACAAACAUAGGCCAGGUGCUAUGUGUGCUUCUCUGGCCACCAAACGGAUUGACUCCAUCGGUGCUCGCGCCCAGCACGAUGUUCCUUGGAUCCUUCCCAAAUUCUGGGUAUUCAAAGUUCAACGCUUGCCACUGGCUCGCAUCCUUAGGGUGACUCAGCAUCUUGUCUUUUUUAUUUAUCUCCGGAUCAUUUUCGUCAUCUUCCCGCUUUUUCUCCUCCCUAUCCGCGUGCCAACGCAGGAGCUUUGCUACCUUAGGGUCCGCGAAAUACCGCUGCAGACGAGGAGUGAUCGGAAAGUACCACAUCGAUUUUCGAGGAGCUUUCUUCCUCUUCUUGUAUCGAGUGACGCCGCACACCGGACAUAUGGUAGACUCCGCGUGCUCGUCCCAAUAAAUGAUGCAAUUUUUCCUGCACACAUGGUAUUUCUCGUGCGGUAAAUCCAGAGGAAACACGAUUUUCUUCGCCUCCUCGAAACUAGUCGGGCACUUGUUCCCCUUGGGAAGACGUUCGUGCCAGAAUGACAUGUUCUCGUCGAAGCAUGCGUCGGUCAUUUUGUGUUUUACCUUCAUCUCCAGAGCCAUGAGCGUUACUUUCAAGCGGGUAUCCUCGGGCCUGCAUCCUUCAUACAAUGGAGUAACCACGUCUAUCUCCAGUUGAUCCAGCUUGGCUUUCUCUCGGGCGGCAGCUCUUGCGUUAUCCGUCUGCUUGAGAAGCAGCUCUUGAAUAUGAGGGUCCUGCACCCGGCCUCCAUCGUCGUCUGCUCCGGCAUCUUCAUCUUCAUGAUCAUGCCCUUCGUCUUGAUCUUCCUCAUCAUCAUGUACGACAUCUUCUACAUGAUGACUGUGUACAGCAUCACCGCCGUGAUCAUGUCGUGGAGAUUCUUCGUCUUCUCGCCCGCCCUCGCCGUGGUGGUACUUGUCUUGUUGCCCUUCCUCAUUUCUUGCCCGCCCCCCAUGGACGACUUCAUAGUCAUAUUCAUCACCUUGCCACUGAUAGCCAUCCAUGAAACCACGCAAGAGCAGGUGGUCCCGCACCUGCCCGGAAUCCGGGUCCGCAAUAAGGCUCUUCAGCUUGCAUCUUCGACACGGACAUCUUAUCUCCGUCUCGUUCUUUUAAAGCAUCUCGGCCUUCGCGGAGCUCAAAAACCUAUUCACGAUGCCUUCCGUCAUCGUGCAGACCAUGGUGGCCUGCGGGGUAGAGCAAAACGAUAUUUUAGAACCAAGAAAAAAUUUGGCAUGACCUUCCCUAAAAAUAGGACCAAAAAGAAUGCAUAGUGCCAAAAUUCUUGCCGAAACGGAAAUGAAUCAACAUUCCGACAAAAUAUUGGCAACUAUCGCUUUUCAAAUGCCGGUACCUGCAAACACAAACAUAUAUGCAACACCACAAACACAUGCAACACCACAAACAUACAUAGAUCUAGCUAGGCCGCAAAAAGUGCAUGUGCACGUUGUUGGAGCGAGCUAGGGAGAAAAAAAGUAGAUCUACAUCAUGAAGAUAGCUUUCCCCUUACUUACCUAUCAAAAAAAGGUAAUUUCACCACUUAAUUUUGAUGAAUCUAUGGUGGAAAUGAGGUGAGGAGGAGGAGGCAGCCGAAAGCUUGGAGAAGGAGGUGGAGGGAAUGAAGUGGGGAAAGUGAGUGGGUAGGUAUGUGGCUGUCCAAAAUAUCUUGUUGGGGUCCCAGGUAACUAAUGGCGCACCACCAGCAAAUGCGCCAUUAGUAACCCUGGUUACUAAUGGCGCACCUGCAGAUGGUGCGCCAUUAGUAGUUUUAUAGAAAAGUAAAAAAAGAAAAUAUAUAUACUAAUGACACACUGUGGAAAAGUGCGCCAUUAGUAGUUUAAACUAGUAAUGGCGCACUGUGACACGGUGCGCCAUUAGUAGUUUUGCAAAAAAGUAAAAAAAAUAUACUAAUGGCGCACUGCCUGCCAGGUGCGCCAUUACUAGUUAGAACUAGUAAUGGCGCACUUCGACCCGAUGCGCCAUUAGUAUGUAUGGAAAAAUGGAAAAAAAAUUAAUACUAGUGGCGCACCGAGUGUACGGUGCGCCAUUAGUGUCUUCCACACUAAUGGCGCAUCAACAACCGGUGCGCCAUUAGUAUAAAGUAGUGGCGCACUGCUUACCUAGUGCGCCAUUAGUAUCAAUCCUAUCUAUAGCCCUUUUCCUAGUAGUGGACUAAGUUAUGUACGGAAACUAAAGAACUUAUCAGAGUGGCUGGGUGAGCACAGUCGAGGCCGAUGUCGUCAGUCGUCUCCGGCCACGACUUCUGCUUCUGGGCCUUGAAAAGUAGCCUCUAGAUAUCUUCGUGCGUCAUGCCGAAGAAUCGCUACAAGGUUUGCGGCCCUUUCGGAUUGAACUCCCACAUGUGGAGAGGCCGGUGUUGGCAGGGAAGGAUCCGGCGGAAUAGCAUCACCUAAACCACGUCGGUGAGGUCGGUGUUCCUUUCUAUGAUGUUUUUGACGCGCUUUUGCAACAUCACAACCUCGUCUACUAGCCCCGAGUCCAUACCCUUGUUUAUCCAUGACGCUAGCCGCAUUGGGGGUCCGGAUCUAAACUUAGGAGUGGCUGUCCAGUUGGCGCUGUGAGGUUCGGUGAUGUAGAACCACUCCUGCUGCCAUAUCUUCACAGUUUCCACGAAAGCCCCUUUGGGCCAGGUGACAUUGGGAAGUUUGCUCGCCACCGCGCCUCCGCAGUCUGCGUGCUCCCUGUCCACCACCUUUGGUUUCAGGUUGAAGGUCUUGAGCCAGAAGCCAAAGUGUGUGUGGGGGGGGGGGGAUGCGGAGGAGCGCAUCGCACACGACGAUAAACGCCGAGAUGUGGAGGAAUGAGUUUGGAGCUAGAUUUCCACCGUAAUAGAACAUGAGGCUGCGGACAAAAGGGUGAAGUGGAAACCCUAGUCCGCGGAGGGAGUGGGGGAUAAAUACCACACUUUCGUCGGGCUCCUGGGUGGGGAUGACCUGCUUCUUGGCAGGGAUCCUGUACGCGAUGUCCGUACUCAGGUACCCCGCAUCCUGGAGCUCAUUGAUGUCCUUCUCCCUCAUGGAGGAGGCUGCCCACUUGCCCUAAAAGCCGGAUCCGUACAUGACUGGAGAGGUUGGUGGCAGUGGGAAGUUUCUAGGCUCGGGCGCUAGAGCUCGGAGAUAGGGAGGCUGAGGAAGGAAGAAGGUGUGGGAUAGAAAAGAUGAAUCUUUACCCGUUUAUAUAAGCCGUGAAUACCAAACGCUCGCCUCCCUAGCUUUAAAACCUCGUCUGUUCCCGAUCUGGGUAUGCGCCGCAGUCGGCUGGAUUACCCAAAUAUCAUUGAUAUGCAAUCCCGUAUUAAGUGGGUACGCACUCUGUUUUGACGGGACGUGCCAAUGAGGCGUGGCCUCGAAACACGGAAUGCGGAGUCUGAAAACAGUUCAAAAUGCCAAAAGGUCAAGUCUGACGCUUCGCCGGAAAAGUUGUCAGUAAAAGACAUUGUUCUCAUUUUUUUUAUAUAUCCUGCCUUCGUGGCUAAGGGUUGUGUUUAUUGCAAAAAGCCGGAUACAAUUCUUUUACAGAGGAAAAGUCGAUGUGUAUUCCUUAAAGAACCCGCCUUGCAAUGUCGAAGACAGUCCGAGCGCCGAAUAUAUCAUCAUUGAAGAUUGGUUCAGGGGCUACUGUGUGAGUCCUGGAUUAGAGGGUCCUCGGGCGUCCGAUCUACUGAUGUGGGCCGAACUGAUGGGCCGUCAAUAUACAAGGCAGAAGAUCAUCUCUCGUGUUCGGUGGGGACUCUCACAUGCGUUGAUGGCAAGUAUAGGUGUCCGGAUAUAUUAUUCCUUUCUGUAUAACCGACUUUGUACAAACCCUAAGCCUUUCCGGUGUCUAUAUAAACUAGAGGGUUAGAUCGGAGGCAGAAUCAUAACAUUGCUAGGCUAGCUAUCUAGGGUUAGCCCAAUCAAUCUCGUGGUAGAUCAACUCUUGUAACCCCUAUACCCUCGAAUAUAAUCAAGCAGGAGUAGGGUUUUACCUCCAUUAAGAGGGCCCGAACCUGGGUAAACACUAUGUCCCUUCUCCACCGUUACCAUUGAUCUUCAGACGCACAGCUUGGGCCCCCUACCCGAGAUCUGCCGGUUUUGACACCGACAAGACUCCCCACACAUGGCGCGCACCCUAGGCCGGUAGCCUCCUCCCCUCCUCCUUUAUAUACGGGGUGGGGGGCACCCCAAAGCACGUCAGUUAUUCUCUUUGCCGUGUGCGGUGCCCCCUCCACAGUUUACCACGUCGGUCAUAGCAUCGUAGUGCUCAGGUGAAGCCCUGCCUUAUCACAUCAUCAACACCGUCGCCUCGCCAUCGUGCUGACGGAACUCUCCCUCGACCCUCUAUUGGAUCAAGAGUUCGAGGGACGUCAUCGAGCUGAACGUGUGUUCAACAUGAAGGUGCCGUACGUACGUUCGGUACUUGGAUCGGUUGGAUCGUGAAGACGUUCGACUAUAUCAACCGCGUUAACUAACGCUUCCGCUUUCAGUCUACAAGGGUACAUGGACACACUCUCCCCCUCUCAUUGCUAUGCAUCUCCUAGUUAGAUCUUGCGUGAUCAUAGGAUUUUUUUUGAAAUUGCAUGCUACGUUACCCAACAGAGGGAAUAUUUGUUCUGCCUUUAGCUCCUCGUUGGGUUCAACACUCUUAUUUAUAUAAGAAGGCUACAAACGAUCCCUUAUACUUGUGGGUUAUCAUUGUCUAACAGAAGCAUACUACAACAUGUUAAAAUCUAUAGAAAGAACUAACUAAAAAUAAUUAAAAGCAACAAUUAAAGGACUAAAACAACUAUAUAAGCAAAACAAUACUGUUUUAAUUAAAAUUCUAAUUUAAAUUAUUCUAAAAAUAACAAAAUACAUCUUACUGUGACAACAUUCUAACAUGUGACUAGGAGCAAUAAGAAUUAAAUUUAAAACUAUUUUAAACUCAAAUUAUUCACAAUCUAGGGUUUGGAGCAAAUUUGAACAGUUUCAAAUUUAAAUCAUUCAAAUUUGAAAACUAAUGGCACAAACAGAAACUGGACAAAAUUUUGAAUCUAAUGCAAUAAGAAUCACUCAAAAACAUCAAAUAUCCUAAAAGAUAUAAGCAAUUUAAAAUAGAAACAAAAAACAAUUGAAAAAACAAAAAAAAUAAACUUUCAGAACCCCUUUAGUCCUAGUUGGUGGCUCCAACCGGGACUAAAGUUAGACCAAAGCCACCAAUCGGGAGUAAAGGUUGGACCUUUAGUCCCGGUUGCAGACACCAACCGGGACUAAAUCCUCAACCCCUUUAGUCCCGGUUGGUGUCACCAACGGGACUAAAGGUCUAAUCUUUAGUCCCGGUUGUGGACACCAACCGGGACUAAAGGGCAUCACACCCUUUAGUCUCGGUUGGUGUCUCCAACCGGGACUAAAGGUCUCAUUUGAACCAAGAUUGAUGCCUGCCCGACGCCCUAGACGCUCGAACCGGAACUAAUGCUCACAUUAGUCCUGGUUCGUAAUGCAACCGAGACUAAUAUGUAGAUCGAGCUUGGACCAAAGCCCUGUUUUCUACUAGUGAUCGGGACACUGCAGAUGAGCUCGGAUCAAGGUGGGAGGGCUUGAGCCAUGAUGCUUGGGGAGGGUUCCUUGGCGACAACGACAGAGUUGGGCUAGAUGAAUCCAGAUAAUGAACCCUNNNNNNNNNNNNNNNNNNNNNNNNNNNNNNNNNNNNNNNNNNNNNNNNNNNNNNNNNNNNNNNNNNNNNNNNNNNNNNNNNNNNNNNNNNNNNNNNNNNNNNNNNNNNNNNNNNNNNNNNNNNNNNNNNNNNNNNNNNNNNNNNNNNNNNNNNNNNNNNNNNNNNNNNNNNNNNNNNNNNNNNNNNNNNNNNNNNNNNNNNNNNNNNNNNNNNNNNNNNNNNNNNNNNNNNNNNNNNNNNNNNNNNNNNNNNNNNGAUGAGAGAGACACGGGAAAUCUCACGUUCAUACAGGCCCAGUUUUUUUUGUACUUACACAUACAUGCCCAGUUCUACAUGGCGAGGGACAUAUAGAAUGGUGGACAAAGUCUCCGAAAUCACUAAUUGAGGAGUACUCCUCGCAAAGAUCACUCACACCUUCCAGGUUAUGACAAGUGGCCCACUGCAUGUGCGCCAUUUGUCGCAACCUGGGAGUUUUCUCUUUUUCAUACAUCCGUUUAUUCAAAACGUUGUAUCUCUUAAACCGUGCGUCUAAAUCUUGAACCGUUUUCACCGUUGGAUUCCUGACGUCGAGAUCUUCAAAACUAGAUCCCAUAUUGAUAGGUUUUGACAAACUUUUUUUCACAAAAAAAAAAACGAACGAAAAAACCGCACCGGGAGCACGGGUGUUUCCCUUUUUGAAAGAGGCACGGUCACGCCUCUCAUGAAAUCACAACCGUACCUCUCGUGGAAGUAAAACCGUGCCUCUCACAAAAGAAAAAUAAAAAAAUGUGUUUCUUUUCAUUUUCGAGAAGACACGGCCGUGCCUCUCACGAAAGCACAACCAUGCCUCUCGCGGAAGCAAAACCGUGCCCCUUGAGGAAGAAAAAAAACAGAAAAUGUGUUUUUUCUCAUUUCCGAGAGGCACGGUCGUGCCUCUCGUGGAAGCAAAACUGUGCCUCUGGCGGAAGAAAAAAAAAUAGAAAACGUUUUUUUUUCAUUUCCGAGUGGCAUAGCCGUGCCUCUCGCAAAAGCAAAAUCAUGCCUCUUGCAGAAGCAAAAAAAGAAAACGCGAUUUUUUGCACAAAAAUAUUUGUUUUUCGAAUUGUUUUUCCAAAAGCUAAGAAAUACUAGUGAAAAACCGAAACGUCAAGAAACCCCGGAAAAAAUGUUUAAAAAGUUGAAAUCGCGUGCGGAAAAAUAAAAAAAAUCCAGAGGGAGUGCCCAGAGCAUGGCACGUGGCGGGCGGCUGAGAGCGCGCCAAAUGACGCUGAUCGUUGUGAGGCUCCCGCAGGAGUGCUCGUGAACCAUUUUUUUUAGAAUUCCUUUCUUCAAUUUAGGGGAAUGGCCCAUCCACAUAAUAUAGGAGCAGGGAGCCCAUUGAAAAGGAUUUUUGUUCUGAAAAAUAAGCCCACAGUGGAGUUGACCUAACCCCACUCCACUGCCUCCCGUCAAGUCAAAAGAAGAAACCCCACUCCACACUCCUCCGCCUCCCGAAUUCGACCUCCCCCAGAAAAACCUCGUCCGUUACUCCUCCGCCUCCCUCCAAUGUCGUCCCCGCCGCCCAUGCCUGGAAGGGAGGAGAUCGCCGGCGCCAAGGCGCCGCGUCCGCUCGCUGCGGACACCACCGGCGCAGGGGGAGACGCCGGAGGUGUCGCCGAGGCAAGCCAAGCAGCGUCCGGCGGUGAGGCCAAAGCGACGCCGUCGCCAGCGACUAUCUGCCCUUGCUGCACGGAGCCGUGGACCAGCGACGGCCCUCAUCGCAUGUGGUGAGCGCACGAGGGCCUCCACCCCCACGGUCCUAGUGCAAUUCCGCUGCUGCUUCUUUUUUGCAGCGGACAAUUUCCGGCCGUGAUGUCGCGUCUGUGUAUUGCGGCCUAGGGUUCUAGGUUUUUCUGCAGGGGAUAUGGUCUUCCUUGUACCAUCACGUUGGAUUCCUUUUGGAUUUGGGGCUAUCAGCACAGUAUCGUCUGUGUUUUGCACUCGCUAAUUAGGUACCGAAGAAGAUCAGAUACGGCAUGAGAUCUGAUUUUCUGAGGUCCAUACACUGCUGCUAAUUAGAUACUGAAGAGGAUUGCAUCUUCUUUUUACAGUUCACUGUGUGCAAUGCUAUUCUUGGGCGAAAAGUUGCUCUGAUGGUGGAGUUCUUUCCAUUCUAUGCAUGAAAUUUAUUUAGCAGGCUAUAGCGCCGCAAUAGCCUUUUAGACGAGAUUUCACUACACUGACGUAAUUUCUACGGCUAUUCCAGCAACGACCGCAAAAGGGCUGAUAACCUCCGCUAAAUCCAUAGCAGUCCGGGAAGCUUAGCGCUGCUAUUUGAAAUUUUGCUUGCCAAAGCGCCAGAAAAGAAACCGCGCCAUUUUCCAUCACGCGGCAGUCCAAGACCUAAUCAGUAAACCAUCGUUUAAAUACCCUAGCCCUAGCCAGUCCACUCCCCCGGAUCAUCAAUUAAUCUGGUGUCUUAGAUGGCUUCUUUGUCGGAAGGUGCAACUUGCAACGAGGCCUCUAAUCAGACUCUGCCCUUCACUGAACACCGCACCACAAUAAAUAUUUAUGAGUUUGUGGAUCUAGGUUUCAUCUGAAAAUUCUUUGUUUAUGGUCCAUAUAUUUAUUUAUAUUUUCAAAAUCCAUUAAAUGUUUUAGCAUCCUUUAUAGCAUAUUAGUUUCUAUUUUUCAUAAUGCACUCUUGCUACACAUAUUAGAUGCACUCAUGCUACGUACAUAUGCAUGGCUUGUAUUCUAACUGUGAGACUAGUGACACUUUUGGAUCACUAAUCAUAACAUCUAUCUCUUAAAUGCAGUUGCAUUCGUUGUGGGCAUGUGUAUGGCAGAUCUUGUAUGGAGACGUUGCUGCGUCGUUCUGGCCAGAAUAGUGCCAAGGUACCACGAGUGGGUCUGCAUAUACUCAGUGAACAGAUUAUAUUAAAGAUGUAUAUCAAAUAUCUGAAUGGAAAUUCUCAACUUAUCCAUGACUGUUGAUAUUUCUAACCAGUGCCCGCAGUGUGGCAAACAAUUCGAGGAGAAGCUUAUUAUCAACCUCUAUGCACCAGAAAACAUGUUGGAGGGUUGCUGCAGUGCUGAGGUUCUAUUUCUUUCAUCCGAUGUACAUCUAUAGAUGUGUCGAGUUUGUCUUUAAGGACAUCCACUUUAGAUGUAGGAUGUUGGUUUAUGUUGAUUUAUAUAUAUGGUGAUAUUUUUCUUACAUCUUAUGAGAUAACCGGACCUUUUCGUUCAAUUCUCUAAGCAACAAUAGUAUCUUUUCAUAUUCAACACCCACUAAUAGCGAAAAAUCAUAGAAUUAAGAUACCGGGAAUGGAAACAAAUAAUUCACUAGAAUCAAUAGCAUCCAUUUCGCCCUAUUUCGCUCUCACAAUUUGGGUCUUGCAUGAGUACAAUUUAGCAACAAAAUGAUACCUCAUUCCAAUUUAUACCUUUACAUAUUAAAUAAACACAGAUAUUUGGUACUUUGAAAGUUUCUAUUAAUUUUAGAAUUUGCUGGUUAAUUCAAUAUCCGACGUAUUUAGCAAUUUAAUCUGAAUAUUUAGAUAAUAUAUUUCCAAAAAUAAAUUGAAACAUAACCUAUGUACUUCUGAAUAUGAGUUGUUUGGAAUUUCUAGUUAAUUAUCCAUGUGUAAAUAUCUAAAACAUAAUGUAAAAUCAUCAAUUUGGACCAAGUUCAGAAGUUGACCAUUAACGGCCAUUAAAUUUGAACAAUGGCCUAUCAAUCAAUUGCUCAGAUUUAAAAUUGCCUUAGCUUUAGUGUGGUAAGGUGGAGCGCUGCAAAAUCUUUUAGAACCUUUUCACAUUAUGCGCUAUUUUUUGUGGGUUUCCAAUAGUAGAAACAUUAGUUUUUUCUACCAUCACCCUAGUUAGUCUCAUUGCUGCUAAAACACGAGACGCCAAAUUUUUAUGUCGAUAACCCUUCUGAGAAAGCAAGGACACAUGAGGGGAGCCUUCAUAAUCUAGGGGAUCAACAAGUAGUUGUCACCUCAUCCCUGCCAUACGGCUUAGCGUGUAUCAGAUUUGAGUCGAAGAGGAAACAUAAUCUGCGAUGGAGAAGAAUCAGGCAUAUAUACAUGCCUUUUCUCAUACCAACUAAUUGGUUGUUGCAAAAGCAACCAUUGUUGUUAAGCCUGGUGGAAAACUACUAUAUCUUUAUUUUCCCAUAGAGUUGUAGCACUUGUGUCCUAUUAUGCUGGCCUGAAAUGAGAUGUCGAUCUAUUCAUCAUUAACAGUUUUUUUUCUGUUGAAUUUAUAUUCACUAAUCAAAUGACUCACUUAGGUUCAUCCUUUUCAUUCUGGAUGUCUUCCAAAACCAUCAUGAUAUUGCAUUUGAACAUGUUCACCCUUACUAGUUAGUACUCCCUCUGAAAGAAAUAUAAGAGCGUUUAGAUCACUACUUUAGUGAUCUAAACACUCUUAUAUUUAUUUAUGGAGGGAGUGCAUAGUAGUAAUCAUGUAUUAAAUUACUUUAUAUUAGGUCCCAUUGAAUUGGUAACCAGAAAUUGGAGAAAAUGUUAUAAACAUAUAAUCAACUGUAGCAGUGUCCACCUGAAGGUUUUUAUUAUAUAACUAGUAUCAUUGUUACUCCCUCCGUUCACUUUUGUAUGUCUUUUCAGACAACUCAAAAUAGGCUGUGUUGAUUACAUCUCAUAAAUUCUUCUUUUGUUCAAUUGACCUGAACUGCAGGAAAUUAAAGCGUUUUACGAACAUAUAUUUGUUGCAGUAAGGGCGACAUGUAUUGAGAUUCAACAAUGGUUUAGAGAACGGGUUGCUCAGAUGGAGAUAAUAGUGAACAAAAAGGUGACAAUGGCUAAGGCCAACGUGGUAUUAAUGAAGGAGCGAUUGAAGAAGAUGGCUGAACAAGAAAAGAUGGUGCCAAAGGAUAUGAUAGUGUUCAUGGAGCAGAAUUGCCCUCAGCUGAUGAUUUGUGUGUCGUGCGUGUUCUCAUCCUUACCAGCAUCUGGUAUGGAAGGCGGGGACGAGAUUGCCAAUGUUGAAAUUAUUGUCAGAGAGGGGCCAUGUCCCCAUGCUGUGGAAGCUAGUGAACGGGGUGGCAGAGGCAAUGAGUUAAAUCAUACUGUAUCUGGUUUGGGCGAGGAGAUCGACGGCUCAUACAGAGACAGUAGCUACUUUGGCGAAUAUAAUGCGAACAUCUCCAACAAAGAAGCAAAUAGGAUGCUGGUAAGUGCGAACAUGGAUGCUUCAGCUGAAGGGGGGAAAUGCAUUGAUGUCAAGGCACCAGCACGGCCAACCUGCUCUAUCUGCAUGGAGCCGUGGACCUCCACGGACGAGCAUCACAUCUGGUGAGGAAUAUGGUUUCCAUUGUUGGUCUUUUUGGGUACAUACUACUAAACUGACGUCUUAUUCCAAGAUAUUGUGCUGAAAGUGAGCCCCAUAUGUGCUAGCUCGCUGAAAUAACUUCAGUUAUGUCCUGCUGUGAUUAAUACCAUCUCCAUGUUGGGAUUCGAUAUUAUAUAUAUAUCCACCGUUUGGGGAUCAUUACAACUACUCCUAGUGGAUGCAGAUGAUUUUCUAACAUCAUGCACCAGCUUUAACAAUCCAUUGUUUCUGAUCCUUUUUUUAUCUCACUGAGAGGAAUAACGCUUUUGUUUUGAGUAAUGUUAAUAUUUAAGUGUAUGAUAGGUUAGAUAUAACGAUUGAAUUGGUAAUCAUGUUUCCUUUUCGCCAACAACUAGACAAUUGUUAUAGGCAUAGUUGCAAUCCAUUGUUGAAUUGUUACAGAUCAUGAAUUCAGUAUCCAUUUGACAUGAUUAAGUUAGGUGAUCACUGUAUAUGCAUAUUAGGAGGCUUUGGGUUCACGAUGCUGCGGAUGUGGCACCAUAUGAUCAUAUAGUGCAGGAGGGCAGUCUUUGUUGGACCUUUCAUGGUGCUUACUUCAUUUGGUGACCAGAUCAGCCAUUUUUCAUUUUACUUGUCUUGGGGUUACUAGAUUUUAUACAUGUAUCCAUACACGGGGUUGUGUUCUCUAGAUCAUCUCCCAUCUCCAACUUGCAGUUGUAUUCCUUGCGGGCAUGUCUACGGCAGGUCGUGCUUAAUAAGGUGGCUCAGGGAUCAGCUUUCAAGGAAUGAGAAUCUGAAGGUAACAUGCCGGAUUCUGUAUGUACUUCAUAUUGACUUACAUUCAUGAAUCAAAUCAUGGGAACCUAAGAUUUCUCUACUUAUGAAUGCAUAUUUAUCUUUCUAACCAGUGCCCUCAAUGUGCGGAAGAAUUCAAAGGCAAUCUUAUCGACCUCCAUGCACCAUUGUGUCAGGUUCUGAUUCUUUUAUCCGUUAUCCUUUCAUUGGGUGUUGCAUUGUGGACUAUUGCUUUCUCUGUUUUCUCCUAUAGUAGAAACAAUAGUUGUCUCUGUCACCAAUCCACAUCAGCUUAUAUUGUCUCUAAAUCGUUAACGACUGUCCCUCACACUCCAUGCUAUGUUGGUUGUUCGUUUGCCUAUACCCACAUCACUUAUAUCCCAACGCGUAUCUUAAAGAAAUACCUGUACUAAGAAUUGUAGAUGUGCUCAAGUUGUAUGUUCAAUGAUAGUUUAUAGUUGAGUCAUGAAAGUGUUCAGGUUAUACUUUCAAUACUUGGAUAUAGUAGGACGAUAUUGCUUUUCAGCUAUUUAUUAAAAUGUCAUUCCUUUUUGCCACCACCUUUGCUUUUGGGCCGUUACCAUCCUUCAAACCGGUUUACUGGCUCCACGUGUUAGUUUUUUUUGCCAAAAAGACAAACUUGUCUUUUCACUAUUGGUCUUCUCCCUAAUCUCAGAAGAUGUAAGAAGUUUCAAUGGAGUAAUGAAAUUUUGAUAAUUAGUCCUAAGUAUUGGCAUAAGCAGAAUUGCAGGUGCGACUAGUGGCAUUGACAUAAAAUUGCCGUACAUUAUUUUUCUUCUAAAUUUUGAGCACUUUAUUGUUAAUACGUAGUGAUGGGGGCUAUCAUUGUUGGCACUUCUGAUGUUAUGUUUACAUCCCCCAUUAUAAAACGACUCAACCUACCAACGUCAUAUAAAGCAUAGGAUUUUCAUCUGGUUGGUGAUGGACAUUAAGUAUUCAAGUGCUAUGCAGUUGUAUAAUUGGUGUAUAUAGAAGAUGUUUUCUUAUGCUGGAUGUGGAUUAUACAUAUCACAAGUUCUCAUCUCAAUUAACCUGCCGGUGCAGGAAGUACAUGAGUAUUAUGAAGCUAAGUUGGCUGAGUUUGAGGCAUCGAGGGAAGAAUGUAUGCUAUUUGCAAAAUAUCAUUAUCAGUAUGACCUGCUAAGUGCACAAGCGAAGUUUCGGGAUGAGCUGCGUGCACUAAUUAGACCUGAAAUUGCUGAGAUUGAAAGAGUGAUGAUGGAACACGUGGCAAAGGCUAACGGUAGCUUGGUGUUGAUGAAGGAGCAGAUGAAGAAGAUGGCUGAAGAAGACAUGGCGACAACGGAGCAUCUCAUUGGAUACUUGGAACAGACUUGCCAUUGCCCUUGUCUUUUUCCUACCCUACCCAAGCUACCCAUAUGACCCUGCUGAUCAAAGCUGAUGAAUGGUCAGCUUUGUACCACACAUUAUGUAUUUGUAGUUCAUCAUAUGUACUGUGAUGUACCAGGAGUCUGGUUUUACCUCAUCAUUUGCCAAGAACAUGGCAGCUGGCGCUAGCGUCAACAAGUCUUCCUGUGUGGAGAUGUGGUGUGAACACUAAGUGUGUUUCAGACAGUCGAAAAUAUGUGGUACUUGCUUCUUUCAAGGUAAACCAUUGGUCUGCUUAUUACCUCGGUCUUCUAUUUUUGAGUUGCUUGAUUUUAUUUAUAUAUAAAUUUCAGUCAAGCACACAACUAUAAUUGCGUACCACAAUGUCUAAAGUUCUGCCCCAUACUCAAAAUGCAGUUAGCAACAUGAUGUUACUUGCAUGUGCAGUGUGGUGGCUGAAGAAAGAGAAAGCAAUAUUUUUUCCCGACAAAGGAUAAUAUAUUAGUAUCAAGAUGAUACCAAUUCCAUCUCGCCGAGACAUUGAGGAUGCAUAUAGACAGAAAAAGAAAAUUAGAACAUAAAUAGAGUAGGUGACCAACGACACAGAACAAGCAAACAAGCAUCAACACCACCCAUCACCCUUGCCAACACAUGAACUACGAAACAAUUCUCCAACAGCAACACCUUCAAGAUGGAAAAGCAACAAGUCUAAUUUGUUCUUGAUUCAGAAGCUUAGGGCAACUCCAAUGGGGAGCACCAAAUAGAUGACACCAAAUGUCAGCAGACAUCUUGGGCGGGGUGUCGACAAUCCAGCGGUAGUCAUCAAAUUAGGAUAGUGCGUUAUGACUGACAGUGAGCUUGGUGGACUGAGAGGAAAAAGAGCCAAGCGCAACACAUCGGUUGCGGGUAGAUGUGGUCCAACUAACAUUGGGUCGGGAGGAUGCCCGGACGCCCCCAUACCUUCCACAAAUUUGGUGAUCAGUCCAGACAAAUUAGAUGCCUCCCAUCAGAUGACUUUAAGUUCCCGAACCAUCCAGUCCGAACAUUUGCGAGUGAUUUCAUGAGCCGUAUUGAAGUUUCCCUCAAAGUAUGUUCACUUAUUUCAAGUAUAACUAGAAAAUUUACACCAGAGCGUUUCUGAGGUGAAUCAGUUUGAAUUUGAUCAAUACAUUGCCUGUGAAGUAUGUGUUUGCACAUGCCCUAUAGAUCUACCCGUUGUGUACUAGAGAUUUGAAAACGAUAUUAAAAGAAAAAAAUGCUUCAUCAUAGUAAUCAUGAUGAGGCAACCAGUCUCGUGUAGCACCGGUCACUUCACACGCGUGUCGCCCCACCUACCCAGCUUAUGACACCUGGCCUACCGAACCCAAGCGGGAGCAGAAGAUUGCUUUAUCCCUUCUCGAUCUUUCGCAUACAUCCAUUUUUAUCUAGAGCGCCUUCUUUCCCAACUUUCCUCUCCGACGCUAGCAUCGGUGCAACUUUCUUACCGAGCACCUUCUUCCCCGCUCAAUCCCAUCCCACCUCGUACUCUAGCAAGUCCACUGCAGUGUCUUGAUUUCAUGUCCAUGCUCGCCCCCACCCUCGUCCUUCUCAUGGCCGACGAGCCGCCUCCUCACCUUUCCUGCCCACUUCGAGCGCAUCAGCAUGAACAUAUUCUACUGGCAUACAUACUCUGCAUAAUAAAGGCCUUACCAGCCGCAAUAUGCCUCGCCUCCUGGAUCUCCCGGCGAGCGUCCUGGGCAUCAGCCUGGGCUUCCUUCAGGCUCUCAUGGGCUUUGGUGAGCUCGGAAGCCUAUUCCGAGCUCGUCUACUCCAAGCACUUGCAUCUAGCAAUGGUGUCCUUGAGAUCUAUUUCAACCUCACCCACCCGCGCCUCAUGGCGUUGGCGGGUGGUCUUCUCCUCUUCUAAGCUUUCAGACGCCUUGUCUGCGGCCGCCUUACUUGCCUAUGCCUCCUUCUGGACUUCCGCAAGGGCGCUUUUGAGGGACUCGACCUCAUAGGCGCCAACUGUGGGCACAAUUAAAACAUUUUUAGUCUGUUUCAAAAUAUCAAAACAUCCACACUUGGAGAUAUAUACUCAAUGUAUGCAUACCUUGUAUCUCCUCAAACCGCUUAUUAAUGUGGACAACCUCUUCAUCGGCCAGCCGCAGCUUCCCAGUAAGUUCGGAAACUUCGGCAGAUUGGGCGCUCGCCGCCAGCAAGGAAGCCUGUUGUACAAUAGAGUGUCACCUCUCCCGAACACUAAGUGAUCCUCUGUCCGACUUAUUCAAAACCAGACAGAGUCUUAGGGGCUACUAUCUAUACACAAGCAUAUUUCCUUUAUUAAAAUUGGUUAGAAAAUUACAUUACAUACCUCAAAGCCUGUUAAUAGGCUGGUAGAGGCUUCGUUCAGCCUGCUUUUGGCGAACUGAAUCUUCUCAACCACCAUACCCAUCAGGGCAUGGUGCUCCUUCACGACGGAGGCGCAGCGAAGUGCUUCCGCCAAAGUAUCCGGCGCCUCCGUACUGAUGGAGGCCGCCGGUGGAGUCGACGUUCCCCCCUCCUUCAAAGGGGUCUCUUGCCUGAUUUCAGAAUCGUAUGGGUCUCCGGAACAGUGUUCGGCUGGGGGCCGGAUUGGUCAUGGCCUCCAUCACCAGUCUCCAUGGGGGUUGGCCCUCUCCUGUCUUCGGCAGCCGGGGUUUUACCCUCUGGCGCCGUCCUGACAGCCUCCUGCACCUCUCCAUGGCCUUGAGAGGCUCUUCGGGACAAGGCUUCGGUGUCAUCCGGAGCGGUAGGCGGGGAGGCCCGCGGAGGCGUCUCGCUCUCCACCAUCACUAGCUCUAGCGAAUUAACCGGUGACGAUAUUUGAGGGAGAUCACGUGCCGGACUAAAACACACAACACAACAUGUUAAAAACAAUAAUUAUAAACGCUGAUGUAUGUAAGGAUCUGGAGAUACUUACGAUUCAGCUAGGGGCUUCGACCUGGGGCAGUACUCGGGGAUGACUUCGGCAUCCGAAUCCGAGUCGUUCGUGAGGGAUACUCUCCCCCUUUUGGACGCCUCCGUUUCAGGGCCUACAGAAGCCGCCCUUUUCUUCCUCCCCCCUUAGGGGAAGAAUUUCUCUCUUCCUCCUCCUCCUUUUCGUCUUCAUCUCCCUCGUGGGAGGAGAGGGCUUCGGACUCCCCGGACAUAGUGUCCGAGGGACCUUUACUGCGAGGGCCGUUUUUGGCCUCCUUGCCCUUCUUCUUGGUCUUCUUCUCCGGCACCUGGUACGGUGCCGAAACCAGCAUCCUCGUCAGUAGAGGAUCAUCGGGGUUUUUGGGCAGCAGAGCCGGACACUUGAUCCGCUCCGCCUUCUUCAUCCAUCCCUGUUUUAAAUAUGAGAAUCUCAAUACAUCCCUGUGAUUUCCGAACCACUACUAGGAAAAGGCCUACUAAUGGCGCACCGGUUUUGCCUACUAAUGGCGCACUACCGGUGCGCCAUUAGUAGCACGCCACUAGAAUUUUUUACUAAUGGCGCACCAAGCAGUGCGCCAUUAGUAUGUAACACCAUGCGCCAUUAGUAUGCCUCCCGGGGGGCCAUAUGUAACCAUGUGCUUUAUCAUACUAAUGGCGCACUCUGCCUUGAUGCGCCAUUAGUAUCCUUUGGCAUACUAAUGGCGCACUCUGCCUUGAUGCGCCAUUAGUAUGAAUAUUUGGUUUUUGUUUUUUGCUUUUCUGAUUUUUGCACAGGUUACAAAAUAUAUUAUUGGACAGAAUAUAGACAGCAGCACACAGCAACAGCAGAUUCAUCGAAUACAAUAGAAGAUUAGUCUCCGAAUACAAUUCAUCAUAUUAGUCAUCGAAUUCAAAAGACUGAACAAAGAUAAAACAUUACAAGUGUCAAGACCGCGAGUAUCGAGUUUGUCUUCACAUUACAAGUCGAUAUCGAUCAUCUAAACUACCAUCACAUAAAAGAGAGUUGCGGUCAUCACGAUGAGCAUCAUCGCGAUCAAACUGGUCUUCAUCUGGUUCCUCCAACGCUCCCUCCUCUGUCCCGCUAGAUAGCGGGCGUAUCUAGAUUCGGCCUCCACCCUAGUGGUGUACCCUUUGUAAUUGUUACCGCUGAAACGGUGAACCUGUCUCCGACACUCCUCCCAGUCGUCGUAGACUCCGGCAACCUUACCCUUGUACACGACAUACGACGACAUCUCUAUGCACAAGCCAAACAACAGACAACAGAGAAUACAUAAGCAAUAUGUAAGUAUGCAACAAAAGGAUCGGAAGAGAAAAGCAAGACAUUAAUAGCACGAUUCAUGAUCCUACUAAUAAAUAGCAUCGAUUACAUCUAAGUUGAAUGACUGUCCAAACCAAAGAGACAUACGAAUUCAUUAAAGUUUAAUUACAACAUGAGCCAAUCAAUGUUUCAGAACUACACAUCAUUACUUUCGACUCGACUCAUCGGACAGGAGCGUGGAUGAAGCCGUCGUCUGUCGUGAUGGUCAUGAAAUCGCGGUCGUUGUCACCCUGCAUUUGUAGCAUUCCAUCUAUCUCAUUGUUGGAUGGUUGAUAUCUGAGGUAGAACUGCCCCGAGGUAUGAAGGACAUCUUGAUGGAUGAUGUCCGCAAACUCCGACUGGAUGCGAAAGAAUUCUUGUCUGAGGUCCGCGUCCUGGGUUGCCGACAACCUCGCAGCCCAAUCUUUGAGACUAUCUGGUAGCAGAAGUUGAUGAUGGUCCCUUACAAUCGCCCGCAUGUGAUGGAGGGCAUAGUAGGCAUCCUUCUGACCGCCAGGCGGCUGCUUGACGCAGCAGAAAUUCGUAUUGUGUGAGAAGGUGUGCUUGCCGUACUAACGAACUGCCCUGGUGAAGGUGCCUCCAGAUUUGGCAUAGCCGGGGAGAACAUCAUCAAGAACUUUCUUGACAUUUGUGUAGUCUAUCUUGGAGUUACAGUUCGGGUCGAAAUACGUGGCCAUGGAAUAUUUCGGGCUUAAGAGGAUGAGUGUGCAAUGUGUGUCACUGCACAGAACACGGAAUGUUCGAAAAAAAGAACGAUCGAAAUCUAAGAAAUCAUAUGUUACGGGGCGGUUAAGGGAUGACUUACUCGGGAAAGUAAGCCACAAGGAAGUUAUCCUUAUCUGUGUUUGCCAGAAUGACGCCUUCGAGGUGUGAACUUGCAACUUGGCGGUCCCCAACACUGCUCAAGUGCUUGGCAUGCAUGUAGAAGGGGUCGACUAUCACGAUGUCCGGGGUCUUGUCUCUAAUGAUCCGCAUCUCAAUACUCAGCGAAAAUAGCCGAACGAAGGUGUAGUGCAGCGGAUGAAGGUUAAACAUAGCAAAGAUGUCAUCAAACCGCAGGACGAUCGUACCCCCGAUGUCGCCAUCCACAAAGCCCUUGCCCUCUGGCACCUUGGCCACGAAAACCGGGUAUGCCACAUCAUUCUCUCUGAGACGCCGCUUCUCCAAAGAAAGAACACUGUCGUGCAGACUCCGCAUAGCACCGAUUGCAGCAUUCAGCAUAUUUGGCGGUAGCAUCGCCCUACCCGCCACAUGCACCCUCCUCGAGAUAUCCUUAGGUGGAGGUGGCCCGUCCUGAGCACGGAUCGAAUUCGGUGCCGGCUGGCUCGCACCGGCGCCCUUGUUAGUCUUUCGCUUCCGUCCCUUCUUCUUGAUCUCCUGUAAUGGGACCGAGUUCUGCUCACAGACCGCCUUCUUGAGCAUGUUGGGGCUGAUAAUAUUUUGCACCUCAGCUAUCUGAGGCUCGGUGAAGGCGGGAGCUGGAGGCGUGUCCUGAGAACUGAAUGCCAGACGACGCCUGUUGCAAUUGGAUUUCUCCGCCGUACCAGCUAGAUCACGAUCGUCUAGGUUGGGUUCUUGAGAAAGAGGCCCGCAGAACUCGUCAGCGUACCCAUGUUCGGCAAAGUACUUAUCAACUUUGGUAAAUGUCCCAUCAUCGUUGUCGUCGCCGUCCGGAUCCUGUGCCAUAGGGCUGUCCGGAUCCUGUGCCAUAGGGAUGUCCGGCAGGUCCGGUAGCGUUGCGGCGUUCUUGCCAUGGCUUGGCGCCGACACGACUGGCGGUCUUGUCUGUGGGGUGGUCUCCCCUGCCCCCAAACGAAUCUGGCUCUUCGGCCAAAGCAGGGGCCAGUUUACGCAGGCGCUGAGGGUCAUCUCAUCUUCUUCAUCGGCCCCAGCGGGUCGAAUCGGAGGUAACAGCUCGUCGCAGCCUGGCAGCACCCGAACCACUUCAACCCUAUACAUUAUGGGUGCCAUCGGAUUACCGUGGAACAUGCGGUUGCCCGGUUGAACGAUUCUGCCCUUGGCGACAUCGACCAACUCGGUGCCCACGAAGUGCAGAAGAGUGCAAGGAACAUCGACGGCACCCUGCGAAAACAUGUACAGGGCGUUAGGGAUGCCCAGUCAAAGGCAAGGAGAUGAAGUCAUCGGCCGAGAGGCUUAGUAACCGUGAUGCCGUUGAGCUCGGCUAAUGUCGAGGCACCGCCAAUGGUGGGCGUGCCACUGACGGAGGGGGCGCUUGCUGGCGAGGUGCCGGCCGGCGUACACCCAGGUGCAUUAAGCUCCAAUGCGUGUGCCGGCGCCGGAGACACGAAUACCGCCUCCGCCGGAGACACCAAUGGUGCCGCCGGAGACACCAAUGGCGCCGCCUGCGCGCUGUGCGAGUUGCUGGCCGUGAAGCUGGGAACCGGGGGAGGCCCCUGUUGGCCGCCCGCAAUCCACGUCGUCAGCCCAUGAAUCAACGUAGGCACCAUGGCGUUGAGCUUCGUUCCCAGUUGUUGUUCCACUUGCUCUUGGACAAGCUCCGGAAUCCGCGCCACUUGUGCCUUGAGUUCUUCAACCUCGCGUGUCUGGCUUUCCGAGCUGGUCUUUUUCUCCUUCCGCACACCAGCGGUAUAGUAUGACCCCCAUUUUGUGGACAAGCCUUUGCCGGCCACACGACCAGCUGACGUCGGCUUAGUGAGCUUAUCCUUGUUUUUCAUUAUGUUCAACGCCCUAUUUAAAGGGGUGUCGAAAGGGGAGCUCUAAGACGACCCCGCGCUACUGCUUUCAGUGUCCUGCGAAAGGAAUGUGAACCAUUUAGAAAUAUUGGGGAUUAAUUAGAGUGCAACCAUAUGGAGCUAAUUACGCGGGGGUGUAUUCCUUACCAGAACAAGCUCAAACGCCCUGGUCUUCGGAUCCGUGGUAAGCUCCUUUGUUAUCGGGUCCUCCUUGUACCGGGCCCUGACAUAGUUCAUGGUCUGCUUGCUACCGCUGUAUUUCUCGAAGCGGGGCGGUAGGCCUUGCUCGGCACGCUCCGCGUCCUCCUUGUCCCAUAUAGGCUCCGCCACUCCGUAAUCGCCGGGACCGAGUUUGUGUUCCCUAAGUUCAACUCCCGCUUUUCUUUCCCCCGCCUGACUUGAUUCGGAGGUUGCACUGCUCUCGCACUUGAUCUUGAACUCCUUGUACUCAUCUUCGCUCAUCAAAGGAUAUUUCGCCUUGAUCUUCUCAUAACUAUCACCUUUAUCAAUCAUUCUCUUCACCGCGCUUCUCCAAGUAGACAGGGCCGUGCUCAUCUUCGUGAGGGCGGCACUGUUCACUUUAUUCCCUGAGAGGCGUGUGUUUUCAAAUUCGGCGGGAAACUUGUAUCGUUCGCGCAGCUUCGUGAAGAGGAGGUUGCGCAAAUUCCCUUGGUCCUUAUGCCUAAGGUUCUCGGUGUUGAUCGAGACGGUGCUCCGUAGAAUGCACCCGAGCUGAACCGAGUACCCCUUGACUAUAUGUUUGGGCUCCGUUAGAUUCCCGUCGGAGUCCACUUGAGUGAAUUCCUCCUUGAGGGUGUGGAGCGCAUUCGGGUGCCGGUCCUUCCUUUGCUUCUUCGGUUGGCUGCCAUCUGUGUGUGCGCCGCCAUCAUCAGGGGUGGCAUGCUCGGCAGCACCAUCAGUGGUGUCAUCCCCGACGCCACUAGGGGUUGUGUAAUCAGGAUCGGUGUCUUCCGCGGCGUCCUCAUAGCGGUGAGGUUGUUCCUCCAUCUCCUGGGACAGCUCCCAGAAUUGCUUGCCGCCCGAACCACCGGCCUCAUCGUUGUGGGCCAUGUUUUGCUCUAAAUAGGAAAAAAAAUUGGUCAAAAAGUUGGUUAUUGUCAAGGAACAAGAUCAUGGUCUCAUCAUUUAGGGUUUGUCGACACCGAGGCACCCUAAAAGCCUAAGCUUUCAUCAUUUAGGGUUUGUCGACGCCGAGGCACCCUAAAAGCCUAAGCAUACAUCAUUUAGGUUCUCAUCGACACCGAGGCAUCCGGGGCAGCCAAGUUAAGUUUUCAUCAUUUAGGGUUUAUCGAUGCCGAAGCACCCUAGGCUGGGCCUAAUCACUUGGCACUAAUCACUUGGCUCUAUUGCCACCUAUGUUGGGUUUAUCAUCUAGGGUUUAUCGAUGCUAAGGAGAAUUCUAAGUUGGGCCUAAUCACUUGGCUCUAUUGCCACCUAUGGUUUAAUGCAGCAAGAAUAAAGGGGCAGUUGAUCCUACUUAAUUAAGUACUAAGAUACCCUGGCCCAUGCAUUAGUCGCAAGUACCCCAUAUGUCCUAUUUUUAGCAAAGUCAUGCUAAAAUUCACGGAAAAUUUCAGCAUGACCUUUGCUGAAAAUAGGACAUAUGGAGUACCCGAAUUUGCCGGAACGGAAGUUAAUCCACAUUCCGGCAAACUCAAGGGCCUCUCGGGGUACCUGCAAAUUCAUCACGACACGAUGGUCGGAGACAAAACCCAGCAAACUAGCACCACAAUGUGCCUCUACUUUCAUAUGGAUGAAAAGGCCACAGACCAUAUGGUCCUCUGCUUUCAUAUGGACAAAAAUCAGCUCAACUUAUGUGAGCUUCCAUUCCAGAUCUAAUAGAAGCAAGUUGUUCACCUGUAGCUGAACUUAUGUGAGCUGCCUUCAAGAAAAGAAAUCUGCAGUGGCACAUCUGCUCUCUGAAUACAUUGGCAAGAAACAAAACAACACCUAGUACCAUCCAUCUGCUAUGGCCGUAUCAUGCAGUUUAACUAAGCACUAACAGGUAAUUAUAUAACUGAAAACUUGGCGCGUACGUGUCACUUAGCUUGGGCAAGCAACAUACCUCGUCCUCUUGGUUAGUCCAAACAAGCUGUAUGAUGAGCCUCAACUCACCACCUGCACAUUUUAAAACACCCAUGAAAUGAAAAACUAAACAUAAUUGUCAACCAACAAAACCAAAACACAAACAUGACUUCAAAUUUUCACGAUCAGGAAGAAAAACAGGGUUUUCAACUACUAUAUUCAGUUUCAUGGCAUCAGUUGAACAGUUGAAAAAGAACAAGCUUCAUUUAAAUAUCUUGCUGCUAACAAACAUAACUAAUGUCAGUACUCAAAAAAUAGAGUGACCACACAGGGAACAAACAAACUAUUCACUUUUUAUUUCUUCAGAAUUGGACCAGACAGAGAACAACUCCUUGGAAGCAAACUGAAACCAUGCUGAAACUAUACUGAAACCAUGCUGAAACUUUACUGAAACUACUCCUUGCAAUCAAACUGAAACUACUCCUUGGAACCAAAUUGUCCUGGAAGGAGUAUUGUGUGCACAAAUCUACUCCAACUAGUUGCUUUCACUUAGAAAUUGUUAGCACAAACAGCAUGAGUCAUUCUUCAGACCGUUACAAAUAGAAACAAUGGCAACCAAGGUUAAAAACCAACAAUCCUAUAUAUUAUUCUGAAAUUUGAUAUAUUGAAAUCACUUAGCACUCUCUUUAUGUGUUCAUUCAACACAUAAAAUUGAGGAAAAUAAUACCAACUAGGAUCGGUAUGACCUUCGUUUUUCAUUUUCUGUAUGAUCAAUUAAAUCUUCUGCAAGCUUAUAUGAAAAGGUUCAGCAACUUGAAACGUAACUCUUGCUUGGUGUUCCAAAUCAUUUCAUUUAUAUUUUAAAUAACAGUAAGAAUUAUUUCAUAAUAGAAUUUACCCAAUGGGGGCGGCGGGUGCAUGCGACAGAGGGGGGAACGGGUGGGGGUGGAGGAGGCUCACCACUAUUGCAAACCAAACAAGUAAGCAGAGCACAUGUAUAUACCUGUAUCACUGUCUUGGAGCCAACAAACGCCUCAAUUUUUCUCCAACCGUGAUCGAACCUGUUACGCAGAAACACAAAUAGAGAGAUACAUGUAACUAACGAGGACAGACAGACAAGGUAACAAGAACUCCACAGCUCAAUUAAGCCUAUGCUUCUUCUUUCACUCUCCUGCAUAAAGUUAUUGUUACUACCUGGGAGGGAUUAUAUGCUUGUUUACCACUACUAAUACCAUUUUUUAAUAUAAUCUUCAUUCUCCUGCUUUUUCUUUUCUUACAAGUGUUGAUGCCAAAACAUUGCAACCCUGUAGUUCAAGAUCAGAGUCAAAAUUGACCUACAUGAUUGUUUACCACUACUAAGACAUGGAUCUAAUAGCUAUCUCCCCCCUUGUUCCUCAUGCCUUAGUUGCAUUCAGAGAAGAGAGAGCUCAGAUCCUAGAAUAGGGCCGGAUCUCUCUGGAAGAUAUGUGUUAACCAAUUUCGACCAGUAUAACCAACACAAAGCUCCUGCUCUCUCAAAUUGCAGAUAAAACAACUUAAUCUACAAUUUGCUAACAUGUUUAAACCAAAACAUUUGCUCAUAGGUCAUCAAGUUGUGCUCGGCGCCCUGUGACAAGGCAAAUAUGAGUUGUUCUUCCGCGGAAGAAUCCUCAUGUAAAGGGUACGACAGAAGCUUCUGCUUGAACCAACGCGUGAAACAUGAGUUGUGCUCUUUGAUUAUAUCUCCGUCUGUCCUCUGUUGGCCUCGGUCAUUAUACGUCUUCUCAAUAAAGGUUUUGCGCUCUACCACCCAAGGAUCGACCACGUCUAUGUGUUGUAGCGCGGCUAGGUUUGCUCUUUCAAAGUCGGCGAGUCAACCCUCGAAGUCGACAUGCAUUUCGCGGCGACCCUCACGGUGACCCCAUCCAGCGAGCCUGCCGAGGUGCCUGUUGACGGGCAUACCAACGGGGUUCUCGAUGCCUAGAUAAUUCGUGCAGUAGGAGAUGCACUCUUCAGUCAGAAAGCCCCUGGCUAUACUUCCCUCUGGAUGUGACAUGUUUCGAACGUAUCCUUUGAUGACACCAUUCAUCCUUUCGAACGGCAUCAUGCUGUGCAGGAACGUCGCCCGAGUUGGAUGAUAUCCUCCAUGAUAUGGACCAGCAGAUGCACCAUAACGUCGAAGAAUGCGGGCCGGAAGUACAUCUCAAGCUCGCAUAGUAUCACCACGAUCUCUUCCUGUAGCCUUCUGAGUUGCCUCACGCCAAUGGACUUCUGAGAGAUGACGUCGAAAAAGUUGCAUAGGCCAAAUAGCGUUUCACGGACGUGCGCGUCCAUGAUCCCAUGGAUUGCAACUGGAAGUAUCUGCGUCAUCAGCACAUGAUAGUCGUGAGACUUCAUCCCGCUGAACUUCUGCUUCGCUGGGUCUAGGUAUCUGCUUAUCUUCCCCGCGUAACCGUAAGGAAGUUUUACUCCUAGGAGGCAGGUGAAAAACUACUCGAUCUCCUCCUGACUUAGAGUGAAGCACGCGGGAGGGUAACCAUUUCCGGUCUUCUUGGCCUUUUUGCCUUUGCGAUGACUUUCUGUGUCCUGGUUCGCCUCAUCAUCAUCAUCAUCAUCAUCAUCAUCAUCAUCAUCAUCAUCAUUAGCGUGAAGCUCUUGCCUGAUGCCCAUUGAUUUCAAGUCUGCCCUUGCUUUCGGCCCAUCUUUGGUCCUCUCUGGCAUGUUGAGCAGGGUACCAAGCAGACUCUCGCACACGUUCUUCGUGGUAUGCAUGACAUCAAGGUUGUGAGGCACACGGUGGAUCUUCCAGUACGGCAAGUCCCAGAAAACAGACCUCGUUUUCCAUACCUUCAGCAGCGGCUCUGGCACCUUUCACUUCUUUCCUGGCUCUGGCGCCUUUUGCUUCUUUCCCGACAGUGGGCAGUCUUUCCAAUUUUUCAACAGCUCGUCUAUUUCCUCGCCGCUCCUCGUACACGGGCGUUUUCGGGGUUCGGUUUCACCAUCGAACAGAUCCUUGCGUUUCCUCCACGGGUCAUCGUCGCGAAGCCACCUUCGAUGUCCCAUGAACACGGUUUUCGAAGACCCAGGAUCUCUAUCUAGCUGGCGAUACAUUGUGUCAUCCAUACACCUUACGCAUCCAGAAAAUCCAUGGACUACCUGCCCCGCGAGAUAUCCGUAACCGAGAUAGUCGUGCACCGUCGUGAGCAGUGCGGCUCUCAUAGGGAAAUAUUCUUUCUCUGCGGCGUCCCACGUAUUGGCUGGCAUUUUCCACAGCAUGUCUAGCUCCUCCUUCAGCAGCCCCAGAUACAGAUUGAUGUCGUUCCCUGGUUGUUUCGGCCCUUCAAUUAGCAUACUCAUGUGAAUGUACUUCCUCUUCAUGCACAACUAGGGGGGAAGGUUGUACAUCCACACAAACAUAGGCCAGGUGCUAUGUGUGCUUCUCUGGCUGCCAAAGGGAUUGACUCCAUCGGUGCUCGCGCCCAGCACGAUGUUCCUUGGAUCCUUCCCAAAUUCUGGGUAUUCAAAGUUCAACGCAUGCCACUGGCUCGCAUCCUUAGGGUGACUCAGCAUCUUGUCUUUUUUAUUUAUCUCCGGAUCAUUUCCAUCAUCUUCCCGCUUCUUCUCCUCCCUAUCCGCGUGCCAACGCAGGAGCUUUGCUACCUUAGGGUCCGCGAAAUACCGCUGCAGACGAGGAGUGAUCAGAAAGUACCACACCGAUUUUCGAGGAGCUUUCUUCCUCUUCUUGUAUCGAGUGACGCCGCACACCGGACAUAUGGUAGACUCUGCGUGCUCGUCCCGAUAAAUGAUGCAAUUGUUCCUGCACACAUGGUAUUUCUCGUGCGGUAAAUCCAGAGGACACACGAUUUUCUUCGCCUCCUCGAAACUAGUCGGGCACUUGUUCCCCUUGGGAAGACGUUCGUGCCAGAAUGACAUGUUCUCGUCGAAGCAUGCGUCGGUCAUUUUGUGUUUUACCUUCAUCUCCAGAGCCAUGAGCGUUACUUUCAGGCGGGUAUCCUCGGGCCUGCAUCCUUCAUAUAAUGGAGUAACCGCGUCUAUCUCCAGUUGAUCCAGCUUGGCUUUCUCUCGGGCGGCAGCUCUUGCGUUAUCCGUCUGCUUGAGAAGCAGCUCUUGAAUAUGAGGGUCCUGCACCUAGCCUCCAUCGUCGUCUGCUCCGGCAUCUUCAUCUUCAUGAUCAUGCCCUUCGUCUUGAUCUUCCUCAUCAUCAUGUACGACAUCUUCUACAUGAUGACUGUGUACAGCAUCACCGCCGUGAUCAUGUCCUGGAGAUUCUUCGUCUUCUCGCCCGCCCUCACCGCGGUGGUACUUGUCUUGUUGCCCUUCCUCAUUUCUUGCCCGCCCCCAAUGGACGACUUCAUAGUCAUAUUCAUCACCUUGCCACCGAUAGCCAUCCAUGAAACCACGCAAGAGCAGGUGGUCCCACACCUGCCCGGAAUCCAGGUCCGCAAUAAGGCUCUUCAGCUUGCAUCUUCGACACGGACAUUUUAUCUCCGUCUCGUUCUUUUGAAGCAUCUCAGCCUUCGCGGAGCUCAAAAACCUAUUCACGAUGCCUUCGGUCAUCAUGCAGACCAUGGUGGCCUGCGGGGUAGAGCAAAACGAUAUUUUAGAACCAAGAAAAAAUUUGGCAUGACCUUCCCUAAAAAUAGGACCAAAAAGAAUGCAUAGUGCCAAAAUUCUCGCCAAAACGGAAAUGAAUCAACAUUCCGGCAAAAUAUUGGCAACUAUCGCAUUUCAAAUACCGUUACCUGCAAACACAAACAUAUAUGUAACACCACAAACACAUGCAACACCACAAACAUACAUAGAUCUAGCUAGGCCACAAAAAGUGCAUGUGCACGUUGUUGGAGCGAGCUAGGGAGAAAAAAAGUAGAUCUACAUCAUGAAGAUAGCUUUCCCCUUACUUACCUAUCAAAAAAAAGGUAAUUUCACCACUUAAUUUUGAUGAAUCUAGGGUGGAAAUGAGGUGAGGAGGAGGAUGCAGCCGAAAGCUUGGAGAAGGAGGUGGAGGGAAUGAAGUGGGGAAAGUGAGUGGGUAGGUAUGUGGCUGUCCAAAAUAUCUUGUUGGGGUCCCAGGUUACUAAUGGUGCACCACCAGCAAAUGCGCCAUUAGUAACCCUGCAGGUGGUGCGCCAUUAGUAGUUUUGUAUAAAAGUAAAAAAAAAGAAAAUAUAUAUACUAAUGACACACUGUGGAAAAGUGCGCCAUUAGUAGUAUAAACUAGUAAUGGCGCACUGUGACACGGUGCGCCAUUAGUAGUUUUGCAAAAAAGUAAAAAAAAUAUACUAAUGGCGCACUGCCUGCCAGGUGCGCCAUUACUAGUUAGAACUAGUAAUGGCGCACUUCGACCCGAUGCGCCAUUAGUAUGUAUGGAAAAUGGGAAAAAAAUUAAUACUACUGGCGCACCGAGUGUACGGUGCGUCAUUAGUGUCUUCCACACUAAUGGCGCAUCAACAACCGGUGCGCCAUUAGUAUAUAGUAGUGGCGCACUGCUUACCUGGUGCGCCAUUAGUAUCAAUCCUAUCUAUAGCCCUUUUCCUAGUAGUGGACUAAGUUAUGUACGGAAACUAAAGAACUUAUCAGAGUGGCUGGGUGAGCACAGUCGAGGCCGAUGUCGUCAGUCGUCUCCGGCCACGACUUCUGCUUCUGGGCCUUGAAAAGUAGCCUCUAGAUAUCUUCGUGCAUCAUGCCGAAGAAUCGCUACAAGGUCUGCGGCCCUUUCGGAUUGAAGUCCCACAUGUGGAGAGGCCGGUGUUGGCAGGGAAGGAUCCGGCGGAAUAGUAUCACCUAAACCAUGUCGGUGAGGUCGGUGUCCCUUUCUAUUAUGUUUUUGACGCGCUUUUGCAACAUCAACACCUCGUCUACUAGCCCCGAGUCCAUACCCUUGUUUAUCCAUGACGCUAGCCGCAUUGGGGGUCCGGAUCUAAACUUAGGAGUGGCUGUCUAGUUGGCGCUGUGAGGUUCGGUGAUGUAGAACCACUCCUGCUGCCAUAUCUUCACAGUUUCCACGAAAGCCCCUUUGGGCCAGGUGACAUUGGGAAGUUUGCUCGCCACCGCGCCUCCGCAGUCUGCGUGCUCCCCGUCCACCAUCUUUGGUUUCAAGUUGAAGGUCUUGAGCCAGAAGCCUAAGUGUGUGUGGGGGGGGAUGCGGAGGAGCGCCUCGCACAUGACGAUAAACGCCGAGAUGUGGAGGAAUGAGUUUGGGGCUAGAUCAUGGAAAUCUAGCCCGUAAUAGAACAUGAGGCCGCGGACAAAAGGGUGAAGUGGAAACCCUAGUCCGCGGAGGGAGUGGGGGAUAAAUACCACACUUUCGCCGGGCUCCUGGGUGGGGAUGACCUGCUUCUUGGCAGGGAUCCUGUACGCGAUGUCCGUACUCAGGUACCCCGCAUCCUGGAGCUCCUUGAUGUCCUUCUCCCUCACGAAGGAGGCUGCCCACUUGCCCUAAAAGCCGGAUCCGUACAUGACUGGAGAGGUUGGUGGCAGUGGGAAGUUUUGAGGCUCGGGCUCUAGAGCUCGGAGAUAGGGAGGCUGAGGAAGGAAGAAGGUGUGGGAUAGAAAAGAUGAAUCUUUACCCGUUUAUAUAAGCCGUAAAUACCAAACGCUCGCCUCCCUAGCCUUAAAACCUCGUCUGUUCCCGAUCUGGGUAUGCACCGCAGUCGGCUGGAUUACGCAAAUAUCAUUGAUAUGCAAUCCCGUAUUAAGUGGGUACGAACUCUGUUUUGACGGGACGUGCCAAUGAGGCGUGACCUCGAAACACGGAAUGCGGAGUGUGAAAACAGUUCAAAAUGCCAAAAGGUCAAGUCUGACGCUUCGCCGGAAAAGUUGUCAGUAAAAGACAUUGUUCUCAUUUUUUUAUAUAUCCUGCCUUCGUGGCUAAGGGUUCUGUUUAUUGCAAAAAGCCGGAUACAAUUCUUUUACAGAGGAAAAGUCGAUGUGUAUUCUUUAAAGAACCCGCCUUGCAAUGUCGAAGACAGUCCGAGCGCCGAAUAUAUCAUCAUUGAAGACUGGUUCAGGGGCUACUGUGUGAGUCCUGGAUUAGAGGGUCCUCGGGCGUCCGAUCUACUGAUGUGGGCCGAACUGAUGGGCCGUCAAUAUACAAGGCAAAAGAUCAUCUCUCGUGUUCGGUGGGGACUCUCACAUGCGUUGAUGGCAAGUAUAGGUGUCCGGAUAUAUUAUUCCUUUCUGUAUAACCGACUUUGUACAAACCCUAAGCCUUUCCGGUGUCUAUAUAAACCAGAGGGUUAGAUCGGAGGCAGGAUCAUAACAUUGCUAGGCUAGCUAUCUAGGGUUAGCCGAAUCAAUCUCGUGGUAGAUCAACUCUUGUAACCCCUAUACCCUCGAAUAUAAUCAAGCAGGAGUAGGGUUUUACCUCCAUUAAGAGGGCCCGAACCUGGGUAAACACUAUGCCCUUCUCCACCGUUACCAUUGAUCUUCAUACGCACAGCUUGGGCCCCCUACCCGAGAUCUGCCGGUUUUGACACCGACAAGACUCCCCACACAUGGCGCGCACCCUAGGCCGGUAGCCUCCUCCCCUCCUCCUUUAUAUACGGGGCGGGGGGCACCCCAAAGCACAUCAGUUAUUCUCUUUGCCGUGUGCGAUGCCCCCUCCACAGUUUACCACCUCGGUCAUAGCGUCGUAGUGCUCAGGUGAAGCCCUGCCUGAUCACAUCAUCAACACCGUCGCCUCGCCGUCGUGCUGACGGAACUCUCCCUCGACCCUCUAUUGGAUCAAGAGUUCGAGGGAUGUCAUCGAGCUGAACGUGUGCUGAACACGAAGGUGCCGUACGUACCUUCGGUACUUGGAUCGGUUGGAUCGUGAAGACGUUCGACUACAUCAACCGCGUUAACUAACGCUUCCGCUUUCAGUCUACGAGGGUACGUGGACACACUCUCCCCCUCUCAUUGCUAUGCAUCUCCUAGUUUGAUCUUGCGUGAUCAUAGGAUUUUUUUUGAAAUUGCAUGCUACGUUACCCAACAGAGGGAAUAUUUGUUUUGUCUUUAGCUCCUCGUUGGGUUCAACACUCUUAUUUAUAUAAGAAGGCUACAAACGAUCCCUUAUACUUGUGGGUUAUCAUUUUCUAACAGAAGCGUACUACAACAUGUUAAAAUCUAUAGAAAGAACUAACUAAAAAUAAUUAAAAACAACAAUUAAAGGACUAAAACAACUAUAUAAGCAAAACAAUACUGUUUUAAUUAAAAUUCUAAUUUAAAUUAUUCUAAAAAUAACAAAAUAAAUCUUACUGUGACAACAAUCUAACAUGUGACUAGGAGCAAUAAGAAUUAAAUUUAAAACUAUUUUAAACUCAAAUUAUUCACAAUCUAGGGUUUGGAGUAAAUUUGAAUAGUUUCAAAUUUGAAUCAUUCAAAUUUGAAAACUAAUGGCACAAACAGAAACUAGACAAAAUUUUGAAUCUAAUGCAAUAAGAAUCACUCAAAAACAUCAAAUAUCCUAAAAGAUAUAAGCAAUUUAAAAUAGAAACAAAAAACAAUUGAAAAAACAAAAAAAUAAACUUUCAGAACCCCUUUAGUCCUAGUUGGUGGCUCCAACCGGGACUAAAGUUAGACCAAAGCCACCAAUCGGGAGUAAAGGUUGGACCUUUAGUCCCGGUUGGAGACACCAACCGGGACUAAAUCCUCAACCCCUUUAGUCCCGGUUGGUGUCUCCAACGGGACUAAAGGUCUAAUCUUUAGUCCCGAUUGUGGACACCAACCGGGACUAAAGGGCAUCACACCCUUUAGUCUCGGUUGGUGUCUCCAACCGGGACUAAAGGUCUCAUUUGAACCAAGAUUGAUGCCUGCCCGACGCCCUAGACGCUCGAACCGGGACUAAUGCUCACAUUAGUCCUGGUUCGUAAUGCAACCGGGACUAAUAUGUAGAUCGAGCUUGGACCAAAGCCCUGUUUUCUACUAGUGAUCGGGACACUGCAGAUGAGCUUGGAUCAAGGUGGGAGGGCUUGAGCCAUGAUGCUUGGGGAGGGUUCCUUGGCGACAACGACAGAGUUGGGCUAGAUGAAUCCAGAUAAUGAACCAUGGGGGGGGGGGGAAUGUGGCAGUGACAAAGCCGAUGUAGUGAGUAGGCGGCGACGAGGGCGUGUGGUUGGAGGGGUCUGGGUCGGCUUAGAACGAAGAUGAGAGAGACACGGGAAAUCUCACGUUCAUACAGGCCCAGUUUUUUUUGUACUUACACAUACAUGCCCAGUUCUACAUGGCGAGGGACAUAUAGAAUGGUGGACAAAGUCUCCGAAAUCACUAAUUGAGGAGUACUCCUCGCAAAGAUCACUCAUACCUUUCAGGUUAUGACAAGUGGCCCACUGCAUGUGCGCCAUUUGUCGCAACCUGGGAGUUUUCUCUUUUUUAUACAUUCGUUUAUUCAAAACGUUGUAUCUCUUAAACCGUGCGUCUAAAUCUUGAACCGUUUUCACCGUUGGAUUCCUGACGUCGAGAUCUUCAAAACUAGAUCCCAUAUUGAUAGGUUUUGACAAAAAAAUUUCACAAAAAAAACGAACGAAAAAACCGCACCGGGAGCACGGGUGUUUCCCUUUUUGAAAGAGGCACGGUCACGCCUCUCAUGAAAUCACAACCGUGCCUCUCGUGGAAGCAAAACCGUGCCUCUCACGAAAGAAAAAUAAAAAAAAUGUGUUUCUUUUCAUUUUCGAGAAGACACGGCCGUGCCUCUCACGAAAGCACAACCAUGCCUCUCGCGGAAGCAAAACCGUGCCCCUUGAGGAAGAAAAAGAACAGAAAAUGUGUUUUUCUCAUUUCCGAGAGGCACGGUCGUGCCUCUCGUGGAAGCAAAACCGUGCCUCUGGCGGAAGAAAAAAAAAUAGAAAACUUUUUUUUUUCAUUUCCGAGUGGCAUAGCCGUGCCUCUCGCGAAAGCAAAAUCAUGCCUCUUGCAGAAGCAAAAAAAGAAAACGCGAUUUUUCGCACAAAAAUAUUUGUUUUUCGAAUUGUUUUUCCAAAAGCUAAGAAAUACUAGUGAAAAACCGAAACGUCAAGAAACCCCGGAAAAAAUGUUUAAAAAGUUGAAAUCGCGUGCGGAAAAAUAGAAAAAAUCAGGAGGGAGUGCCCAGAGCAUGGCACGUGGCGGGCGGCUGAGGGCGCGCCAAAUGACGCUGAUCGUUGUGAGGCUCCCGCAGGAGUGCUCGUGAACCAUUUUUUUUAGAAUUCCUUUCUUCAAUUUAGGGGAAUGGCCCAUCCACAUAAUAUAGGAGCAGGGAGCCCAUUGAAAAGGAUUUUUGUUCUGAAAAAUAAGCCCACAGUGGAGUUGACCUAACCCCACUCCACUGCCUCCCGUCAAGUCAAAAGAAGAAACCCCACUCCACACUCCUCCGCCUCCCGAAUUCGACCUCCCCCAGAAAAACCUCGUCCGUUACUCCUCCGCCUCCCUCCAAUGUCGUCCCCGCCGCCCAUGCCUGGAAGGGAGGAGAUCGCCGGCGCCAAGGCGCCGCGUCCGCUCGCUGCGGACACCACCGGCGCAGGGGGAGACGCCGGAGGUGUCGCCGAGGCAAGCCAAGCAGCGUCCGGCGGUGAGGCCAAAGCGACGCCGUCGCCAGCGACUAUCUGCCCUUGCUGCACGGAGCCGUGGACCAGCGACGGCCCUCAUCGCAUGUGGUGAGCGCACGAGGGCCUCCACCCCCACGGUCCUAGUGCAAUUCCGCUGCUGCUUCUUUUUUGCAGCGGACAAUUUCCGGCCGUGAUGUCGCGUCUGUGUAUUGCGGCCUAGGGUUCUAGGUUUUUCUGCAGGGGAUAUGGUCUUCCUUGUACCAUCACGUUGGAUUCCUUUUGGAUUUGGGGCUAUCAGCACAGUAUCGUCUGUGUUUUGCACUCGCUAAUUAGGUACCGAAGAAGAUCAGAUACGGCAUGAGAUCUGAUUUUCUGAGGUCCAUACACUGCUGCUAAUUAGAUACUGAAGAGGAUUGCAUCUUCUUUUUACAGUUCACUGUGUGCAAUGCUAUUCUUGGGCGAAAAGUUGCUCUGAUGGUGGAGUUCUUUCCAUUCUAUGCAUGAAAUUUAUUUAGCAGGCUAUAGCGCCGCAAUAGCCUUUUAGACGAGAUUUCACUACACUGACGUAAUUUCUACGGCUAUUCCAGCAACGACCGCAAAAGGGCUGAUAACCUCCGCUAAAUCCAUAGCAGUCCGGGAAGCUUAGCGCUGCUAUUUGAAAUUUUGCUUGCCAAAGCGCCAGAAAAGAAACCGCGCCAUUUUCCAUCACGCGGCAGUCCAAGACCUAAUCAGUAAACCAUCGUUUAAAUACCCUAGCCCUAGCCAGUCCACUCCCCCGGAUCAUCAAUUAAUCUGGUGUCUUAGAUGGCUUCUUCGUCGGAAGGUGCAACUUGCAACGAGGCCUCUAAUCAGACUCUGCCCUUCACUGAACACCGCACCACAAUAAAUAUUUAUGAGUUUGUGGAUCUAGGUUUCAUCUGAAAAUUCUUUGUUUAUGGUCCAUAUAUUUAUUUAUAUUUUCAAAAUCCAUUAAAUGUUUUAGCAUCCUUUAUAGCAUAUUAGUUUCUAUUUUUCAUAAUGCACUCUUGCUACACAUAUUAGAUGCACUCAUGCUACGUACAUAUGCAUGGCUUGUAUUCUAACUGUGAGACUAGUGACACUUUUGGAUCACUAAUCAUAACAUCUAUCUCUUAAAUGCAGUUGCAUUCCUUGUGGGCAUGUGUAUGGCAGAUCUUGUAUGGAGACGUUGCUGCGUCGUUCUGGCCAGAAUAGUGCCAAGGUACCACGAGUGGGUCUGCAUAUACUCAGUGAACAGAUUAUAUUAAAGAUGUAUAUCAAAUAUCUGAAUGGAAAUUCUCAACUUAUCCAUGACUGUUGAUAUUUCUAACCAGUGCCCGCAGUGUGGCAAACAAUUCGAGGAGAAGCUUAUUAUCAACCUCUAUGCACCAGAAAACAUGUUGGAGGGUUGCUGCAGUGCUGAGGUUCUAUUUCUUUCAUCCGAUGUACAUCUAUAGAUGUGUCGAGUUUGUCUUUAAGGACAUCCACUUUAGAUGUAGGAUGUUGGUUUAUGUUGAUUUAUAUAUAGGCUGACAUUUUUCUUACCUUUUAGGAGAUAACCGGACCUUUUGAUUCAAUUCAAUAAGCAAUAAUAGUAUCUUUUAGUAUUCAACCCCCACUAAUAGCGAAAAGUUACAUAGAAUUAAGAUAUUGGGCAUGGAAACAAAUAAUUCACUAGAAUUAAUAGCAUCCAUUUCCCGCUAUUUCUUUCUCACAAUUUUUGCAUGAGUAGAACUUGGCAACACAAUGAUACCUCAUUCCAAUUUAAACUUUGCAUGUUAAAUAAACACAGGUAUUUUGUACUUUUGUAGUUAAUUUAAUUUUAGAAUUUGUUGGUUAAUUCAAUAUCCUUCUUAUUUUGCAAUUUAAUCUGGAUAUUUAGAUAAGUUCAGAAGUUGACUAUUAAGGGACACUAAAUUUUAACGAAGGCCUAUCAAUCAAUAGCUCAGAUUUUAAUAUUGCCUUAGCUUUAGUGUGGUAAGGUGGAGCCCUGCAACAUCUCUUAGAACCUUUUCACAUUAUGCGCUAUCUUUUGUGUGUUUCCAAUAGUAGAAACACUAGUUUUUUCUACCAUGGUUAUUAGUCUCAUUGCUACUAGACCGACAAGAAAACAAACAAAAAUUGGUUAUNNNNNNNNNNNNNNNNNNNNNNNNNNNNNNNNNNNNNNNNNNNNNNNNNNNNNNNNNNNNNNNNNNNNNNNNNNNNNNNNNNNNNNNNNNNNNNNNNNNNNNNNNNNNNNNNNNNNNNNNNNNNNNNNNNNNNNNNNNNNNNNNNNNNNNNNNNNNNNNNNNNNNNNNNNNNNNNNNNNNNNNNNNNNNNNNNNNNNNNNNNNNNNNNNNNNNNNNNNNNNNNNNNNNNNNNNNNNNNNNNNNNNNNNNNNNNNNNNNNNNNNNNNNNNNNNNNNNNNNNNNNNNNNNNNNNNNNNNNNNNNNNNNNNNNNNNNNNNNNNNNNNNNNNNNNNNNNNNNNNNNNNNNNNNNNNNNNNNNNNNNNNNNNNNNNNNNNNNNNNNNNNNNNNNNNNNNNNNNUCCCUAAAAAUAAUUCUUCAGUAAUUCAUCAACAUAGCUCCGCCACUGAGUGUGUGACACCAAAUUUUAAUGUUGAUAACCCUUCUGAGAAAAACAAGGAUGCAUGACAGCAGCCUUCAUAAUCUAGGGGAUCAACAAUUAGCUGUCACCUCAUCCUGUCCGUAUGGCUUACAAUAGGUAGCGUAUAUCAGAUUUGAGUCAAAGCGGAAAGCUAAUCUGUGAUGGAGAAGAAUCAGGCCUACAUGCCUUUUUCUCAUAUAGUCCAGUCUCUCACUUUGAGUUCAGAUUAUAUAUGAAGACUUUUGACCUAAACAUCAUUCAGUUCCUCUUCAGGAUAAAAUCAUGUUGGAGAAGUUGUGGAGUUUUCUCUAUUUUUUUAAUUAAUACAUGUAUAUAUACAGUCUACCUGUAAGCAAGGGUGGAUUUUACCAGUUGCAAGUGGGCACAGUUGUACCAACAAAUUGGUUAUUGCAAAAGCAACUAGUGUUGUUAAGCCUGGUCAAAAACUAUUAUAUUUUUAUUUGCCCAUAGAGUUGUAGCACUUCUGUCCUUAUGCUGGCCUCAAAUGACAUGUCGAUCUAUUCGUCAUUCACAAUUUGUUCUCUGUUGAAUUUAAUUCACUAACAGAGUGAAGAACUUAGGUUCAUCCUUUUCAUUCUGGAUGUCGUCUAAAACCAUCCUUAUACACGAUAUUGCAUUUCAACAUGUUCAUCCUUACUAGUUAGUACAUAGCAGUAAUCACGUAUUAAAUUACUUUAUAUUAGGUCCUAUUGAAUUGCUAACCAGACAUUCGAGAAAAUGUUAUAAACCCAUAAUCAACUGUAGCAGUAUCCACCUCAAGGUUUUUAUUAUUAUAACUAGUAUCGUUGUUAGGAGGUUUCUUUAGUUGUAAUGUUGAUUACAUCUCAUAAAUUCUUCGUUUGCUCAAUUGACCUGAACUGCAGGAAAUUAAUGCGUUCUACGAGCAUAUAUUUGUUGCAGUAAGGGCAACGUGUAUUGAUAUUCAACAAUGGUUUAGAGAACGCGUUGCUCAGAUGGAGAGAAUAGUGAACAAAAAGGUGACAAUGGCUAAGGCCAACUUGAUGUUAAUGAAGGACCGGUUGAAGAAGAUGGCUGAACAAGAGAAGAUCGUGCCGAAGGAUAUGAUAGUGUUCAUGGAGCAGAAUUGCCCUCAGCUGAUGAUUUGUGUGUCGUGCGUGUUCUCGUCAUUACCCGCACCAGGUAUGGUAGGCGGGGACGAGGUUGCCAAUGUCGAAAUAGUGGUCAGAGAGGGGCCAUGUCCGCAUACUGUGGAAGCCAGUGAAUGGGGUGGCAGAGGCAACGAGUUAAAUCAUACUGCAUCUGGUUCGGGCGAGGAGACCGACGACUCAUACAGAGGCAGUAUCUACUUGGGCGAAUAUAAUGCGAACAUCUCCAACAUGGAGGCUUCUGCUGAAGGGAGGGAAGGCGUUGAGGCCAAGGCACCAGCAAGGCCAACCUGCUCUAUCUGUCUGGAACCCUGGACCUCCACGGGCAAGCAUCACAUCUGGUGAGGAAUAUGGUUUCGACUGUUGAUUUUUUGGGGUACAUACUACUUAACUGGCGCUUUAUUCCAUGAUAUUGUGAUAAAAGUGCGCCCUAUAUGCUAGCCCACUGAAAUAACUUCAGUUAUGUCCUGCUUUGAUUAAUACCAUCUCCAUGAUGGGAUUGGAAUUUUAUCAUGAUAAUAUAUGCAGUAGCCACCGCUUGGGGAACAUUACAACUACUCCUAGUGGAUGCAGUUGUUUUUUUAAUAUCAUGCACCAGCUUUUACAAUCCGUUGUUUCUGAUCUUUUUUUUUUCUCACCGAGAGGAACAAUGCUUGGUUUUGAGUAAUGUUAAGAUUUAAGUUUAUGAUAGGUUAACUAUGGCGAUUGAAUUAGUACUAAUGUUUCCUUCUCGCCAUCAACUUAACAAUUUUUAUAGUUGCAAUUUUGGAUUAAUGUCUUACCUCUAGUUGAAUUAUUACAGAUCAUGAGUUCAUUAUCCAUUUGACACGAUUGAGUUAGGUGAUCACUGUGUAUGCAUUUUAGGCUGGUUUGGGUUGAGGGUGCUGACGAUGUGGCACCAAAUGAUCAUAUAGUGUAGGAGGGCAGUCUUUGUUGGAUCUUUCAUGGUGCUUACUGCAUUUGGUGACCAGAUCAGCCAUUUUUCAUUUUACUUGUCUUGGGGUUACUAUAUUUUAUACAUGUAUCCAUACAUGCGAUUGUGUUCUCUAGAUCAUCUCCCAUCUCCAACUUGCAGUUGCAUUCCUUGCGGGCACGUCUACGGCAGGUCGUGCCUAACAAGGUGGCUCAUGGAUCAGCUUUCAAGGAAUGAGAAUAUGAAGGUAACAUGCCAGAUUCUAAUGUACUUCAUAUUAACUUACAUUCAAGAAUCAAAUUACGGGAACCUGAGAUUUCGCUACUUAUGAAUGCAUAUUUAUCUUUCUAACCAGUGCCCUCAAUGUGCGGAAGAAUUCGAAGGCAAUCUUAUCGACCUCCAUGCACCAUUUUGUCAGGUUCUGAUUCUUUUGUCCAUUGUAAUUUCAUUGGGUGCUGCAUUGUGGACUAUUGUUUUCUUUGUUUUCUCCUAUAGUAGAAACAAUAGUUGUCUCUACCACCAGUCCACAUCAGUUUCUUUUGUCUCUAAAUCAUUAACGGCUGCCUGUCACACUCCAUGAUAUGUUGGUUGUUCGUUUGCCUAUACCCACAUCACUUGUAUCCCAAUGCAUAUCUUAAAGAAAUACCUGCACUCAGAAUUAUAGAUGUGCUCAAGUUGUAUGUUCAAUGAUAUGCUUCUAGUUGAGACAUGAAAGUGUUCAGGUUAUUCUUUCAAUACUUGGAUAUAGUAGGACGAUGUCUUACAACAAAAGUUUUUUGUCUGUAUUUUAAACGUAAUUUAUAACUAGACAUUAGGAGUGUUAUAUUACGGGAAAUUUAUGUCAAUGUCAGUAAUCUCGUGCAAUUCUCACUAUGACGUUGCUUUUCAGCUAUUUAUGAAAAUGCCAUUCCUUUUUGCCACCGCCUUUGCUUUUGGGCCGUUACCAUCGUUCAAACCGGUUUACUGGCCCCACGUGUUAGUAUUUUUUUUGCCAAAAAGACAAACUUCUCUUUUCAUUAUCGGUCUUUUCCGUAAUCUUGGAAGAUGUAAGUUUCACUGGAGUAAUGACAUUUUGAUAAUUAGAUCAAAGUAUUGGCAUAAGUAGAAUUGCAGGAGCGACUAGUGGCAUUGACAUAAAAUUGCCAUACAUUAAAAAAAAUUCUUCUUCUAAAUUUUAAGCACAUUAUUGUUAAUACGUAGUGAUGGAAACUAUCAUUGUUGGGACUUCUUAUGUUAUGUUUGCAUUCCCCAUUCUAAAAUGACUCAACCUACCAACGUCCUAUGGACCACUGGAUUUUCAACCGGUUGGUGAUGGGACAUUAAGAAUUCAAGUGCGAUGUUCAGUUGUAUAAUCGGGUGUAUAUAGAAGAGGUUUCUUUUGCUGGAUGUGGAUUAUACAUCACAAGUUCUCAUCUCAAUUAACCUGCUGGUGCAGGAAGUGCAUGAGUAUUAUGAUGCUAAGUUGGCCGAGUUUGAGGCAUCGAGGGAAGAAUGUAAUGUAUUUGCAGAAUUGCAUUCUCAGUAUGAUCUGCUGAGUGCACAAGCGAAGUUUCGGGAUGAGCUGCGUGCACUAAUUAUCCUUGAAAUUGCUGAGAUUGAAAGAGCGAUGAUGGAACACGUGGCAAAGGCUAACGGUAGCUUGCUGUUGAUGAAAGAGCAGAUGAAGAAGAUGGCUGAAGAAGACAUGGCGACAACUGAGCAUCU